AAGAUUUUCAGUGAUAGUUUCCAAACUGUCGCUAAAUCUUGUUGUUGUUGUUGGAAGAUUUCUCAAAGGGCUAUUGAGCAUUUGAGACAAUUUCUGCAGCGCUUUCUAAAAUUGUUGCAUAUUGCUUUAAAGAAUUUUUUCCAAUCUUUUGCAAGCAAGGUGUUUUCUCAAGUGGGAGAUUCUAUAACAUUACAAGAAGAUUUUUGGUCCCUUAAAUGUCCCUUUAGGAAUGGACUUGGUAUUUUUGUGUUGGCUCACAAAAAUAUUAUUAGUUGGUUAUGUUUAUGCACUUAUAAUUUUAUGCAUGUUUGUGUUGUUUAUUUUAUGCAAUUAUUAUGUGUGGUUGAUAAAUUAGUUUUUCACAUGCUAAAAUAAUUUUAGACAAAAUAAACACCACAUGGAGUUUGGUUUUCAAAAUUUAUAAUGUGGACAUAAGAUGUAACAAGUUAUUGUUUUAAAAUAAAAUCUGGUUUUAUAAAAAUGUUAAUAACGUCAAAUUUUGAAAUACUCAAAUAUAAGUUUAAAAUUGUGAUUUUUGAAACUUAUACAAAUUCCAAAUAUAUAUAAGUAAUAAAAUGAAGUUUUAUUAAAGAUAUAAAAAAGGUUCAAAUGCACUCAAACUUAAUACCGGUUAUUAAAAUUGAAUUGCAUUAAAUUAUAUAAAAACUAGCUUUUUAUAUAGAACCUUUUAAAGUGAUAUUCUUUUUGAAAAUUGAUACCAUGGUUUACUAUAUUCAUGUAAUAACCAUGAUAUCAUACGUUUUUAAACUAGAAUUAUAAAACAUAUAAAAGACCCUUUUACAAACCUCAAAUCUAUGCAAUCCAUCUUGAAGAACACUCGCACAUCUCUUGUAUGCACUAGUAGGAUAAAGGAUACAUAACCGCUUAGUGUUAUCUUUUGAUGGUCGGGGUGUCUUCCCGAUUUCUAUAACCAAGUUAUAGGUUGAUCACACAAGUUUUUUAAAUUGGAUGAUUUGAUCGAAAUCAUUUGUGAUAAAGGAUACCUAAGCAAGAGAGUUUCGAGGCAUAGAUGGGAUCAAACAUGUUUAAUUAAAUUUGUUAUUAGCGAUCCCAUAAAGCUAGGACUUAUAUAGUAAGAUAUAAAUGAUAAUCGAUAUCUACCAGGUUGAAUUCAAAUAGAUGGGAUAAAGGAUAUCUAACCAUUUAUUUGUUUUGCAACUUGGAUCCUAGACUUUGAUAAUUAAUGUUUUUGAAAACUAAAAUGGUAUUAAUUAUUAAAGAGUUUAAAUAUUGAAAGUACUAAAUGAAUUUUGUUAAAACUUUGUAGUUAAAUAAUUCAUUCUCAUUACCAUGAAAUUGUCAUUUUUCUUUAAUGAUUUAAUGAAACAAUAACAUUCACUAGAUACAACUUCAAUGAAUGGGUUCAUGCCUUAAGAGACAAUCUCACAAGAGAUAUGAAAUUGCAUACACUUAAUGGUCCUAGUCCUAAACUAUUUGCUUUGAGCAAUAAGCCUGAACAUGAUACCUAGUAAAGGCAUCACUAUGAUGCUAAAGAUGUUUCUAACACCAAACUAGGAAUAGUUCAAAGCCCAAAAGAGUCACAUUGUGUGAUCUAGGAGGCCCAUGUUUUAUGGACUGAACACCAUUAUGCCCACGAAAUCCAAUAAGGCUCACAUAGAUUGAUCUUGUUUCUUUUGUGGGGAAACUGGACACUGGAAGAGGAUAUGCUCCUCUUAUCUGGAAAGAAAGUUUAGAAGAGACUAGUACUUCAGGUAUCUAUUAGAUAGAACUCAUAUUUUUCAUAUAACACUUAGGUACUUGGUACUUAAAUGUUAAUCUAAUAUUUGUAAUUGGCUUGCAAAUAUUUACUGAAGAGUAAUCAGCUGAGCACAAUCAAGUCAGAACUGUACUCUCUGAGUUUAGUUUAUUAAUUAUGCUAGGAACAUAAUGCAUUUGUAUUAUGAAACAAUGUUUGUUUUGGAACAACGUAUGUUUUAAUUUAGCUUGCCUAAAUAUUUGCCUCGGUUAAUUUAUGAAUGAUUGACUAUUUACUUAAAUCGUUUUUCAUAACGGUCACUUUCAUAUUCGGAAAUGAUUAAAAUUCUUUUUUCUGAGACUUGAUCUCCUAAUAAAAAUUAUAAAGUAAAUAUCAAUAUUUUAUAAAUAACAAGUUCUAUAUGCCAAAUACUUUUGACUGAAAGUUGUUUUAAAUCAAACUCAUCUUUGACACUGUUAUCUUUAUUAUACAAAUCACAUUCACAUAUUCCAACUUCAAGAAAUGGAUUUUGAAGGCAAAUAAUGUAGUUUAUUUGACAUAUGUAAAUAUUAUUUAUAUAUAAAGGAUUCCUGAUGAUAUUUUCAUUGAGUAGUAGAGAAAAUAAAUUAUUAAAGGACUAUACACUAUGGUAUAUAACUUCCUUUCUAAUGAAUGCCUAAUAUUUAGUACAAGAUACCAAAUCUACUUUAUUAACAACUAUAGUAUUUAUAAAUUAUAUUUUACAUGUUAAAACAUAAUUAUGAAAUCUUUGUUUAAGUUUUCAAAUAUAAAGUUGAAAUACAAAUCGGUAAGAACUAUCUAAGGCCUUAAUGAUAAUAAAUGAUUAAUUAAAUUAUACUUGGUAUGAUUUUCUUUCUAAUCGGUAGAAAUGUUCUCCUUUUAUUUCAUUGGGAUAACACCUAUAACACUAUCAAUUGUACCUUGAGUACAAACACCAACUAACUAGUAGAUAUAACAUUUUCUUCAUAAGAUUUUGUAUGGAAAGGCUCCAUACCUAUCUUACUUAAAUGUUUUAUGGAUUUAAAGCCUAUGUUUGAUGAAAGUUUUUAAACCCAAAAUCUACUAAAUACAUAUUUGUAUAUGAUACUCUAAAUGUGGCUUAGAUUAUUAAAAGUAAAUCCACCAAGAAUAAGUUUUUCUUAUUCCUCUAAUAGUUGAGUUAGAAAAAAGCAAGCCUCUAAUGACAAAGGAAGUGGGAGGUACAUGGAACUUGAAGCAGCUCAAGAACCAUUACUUGAUGUAGUAAUAGUUGGCACUAGUUUUAACAAAGGAUUGCUAAACCUGAAUAAUAUUUAUUCACAAACACAAAUUGUUCUCUUUAGUGAUAAAAAUCAUCUAUGAAUUGAGAAAUGUGUAAUCUCUUAUUGAUGAGCUUUUCUUGAUGAUUUUGAGGAAAUCCAUCAAAUACCAAGAUGUUAUGUCAGAUCUCGAAUCUGAUUAAUGACUUAGAGUCAUGAACAUGAUAUGUAAUCCAUGUAUGAUAAUCAAGGAUGGUCUUGGUUGAAAUUCCUCUCUAUAGCAAGGCUAGAAGGAUAAGGUGAUUCUUCUAGAAAGAAUACAUUACAAGGAUAACUAUACAUAUAUAAAGCAAGACUUGUUAUAAAAGGAUUUUCUCAUACUUAUAUCAUUGAUUGUGGUCCUUAUCAUACUCAUGACAUUGACUAUGAUCAAACCUUUUUUUCACAAGUAGCUAUGAUUAGAUUAAUAAGGAUAUUGUUUACUAUAAGUUCAUAUUCUCAAUAUGAAAUAUAGCAAAUAGAUUUCAAGAAAUACCGCUUUUCCUAAUAGACAUCUACUAGAAGAUAUCUAUAUAGAUUAGCCCGGAGGUUUUCUUAAUCCAUGUUAUCCUAACAAAAUGUGUAAAGCUUGAGGUCCACUUGUGGAUAUAAAGCAAACAUCUCCAUGUUGCAAUCAUCAUUUUAAUGUAAAACCACAAGGUAUGUUUUUAUAUCAAAAUGAAUAGAACAUGUGUGUUUAGUAAGAACUAGUAGGAGCAUAGUGAUAUUUCUACUCUAAUAUGAAUGAGACAUAUUGAAUCAUGAGAAAUUACAUUCUGACCAUGCCAGGACCUUUCAACUUGACUCAGAAUGUAUUAUUAAAAUGAAAGACAUAGGAAUGACAAGAUACAUCCUUGGAAUGUAAAAUCUAUUGAGUUAGAUAAAAAGAAUGUUAAAAGUUUUAUAUAUCCUUAUGCAUAAUGUCACACCCCCAAAUCGGAACGGCGGAAACGAUCGGGGGUGGAGGACGUCAUGUUUAGUAUCACAACACAUGCAUCAUAGUAAUCAAAGUAACAAAAAAACCAUUGCAUUUAUAUGAAUGUGCUUACAAAGUAUGUGAUUCACAUAAGAUUGACUCCAAAAGUAAAUAACAAAACAAGACAUGAAGCUACUAUGCUCCAUCUUCUGAAUCCCAGUGUGCAUACCUGUCUACUAGGUUCCUAAGAAUACAAAUUAUUUUGAAAGAGUAGAUCAACAUUUAAGCUGGUGAGUUCAUAAGUAUUUAAGUGAUGAAAAGUAAGUUGUAAGUUCUUUUGGAAAAUUUUGUCUGUUCCUCCAGAAAAUCCUAUAUUUUCUGAUAUGAUGAAUGAAAGUAAAAAUGACUCUACAAUUCCUUCUGUGAGUACUAAAUGGAUACAAGUUAUAUACAAUUUAGAGUAAACAGACAAUCGAUUGUGUGAAUCUGCCCUAAGCUCACAACCAAACAAGGAACAUGAAAUGAGGCGGAAGUCACACAUCCCAAUGUUUGUCAGAUCUUCACUGUAUAUAACCCUGGCGUAUUCAUUUGGUAAUUAUGGAGAUAACUAUAAUAGUUCUUUAUAUUUGAUGAAAAUAUUCUUUAAGAAAAUCAUAUAUUUCCUUUAGUAAAAAUGGUAACCACAAUAGUUCCUUCUAUAAUCAAUUAGUUUAUACUAGCUAUAUAUAAUCUAAUAUCGAACGGACAGUUAAAUGGGUGAAUCUGCCCUAAGCCCACAACCAAACAAGGAACAGGAAGUAAGACGGAAAGCACACAUCCAAUUGCCUAUCAGAUAUUAAUUAUACAUAACCCUGAUGUAUAAACUAAGGUAUUAUAGAAUUAACCACUAAAGGUCCUUUGAGUUAUACUGGUUUAAUAAAAUGAAUUAAACCCUUUGGCUGAUAAGUUUCUAUUUUAGCCUACUAAAUGUUCUAUAUGAAAAGUAUGUUUUUGUACUAGAAAAUGGUAUAUUGAAUUUGUAUACUAUGACAUGCCCAUACCUGGUACUCCUUAUGAUUACUUGGUGUAUACGGAAUAUAUAUAUAUAUAUAUAUNUAUAUAUAUAUAUAUAUAUAGCUAAGAUCGAAUAGAUAGUAGACUGGGUGAAUCUGCUCUAAGCCCACAACCAAAAAAGGAACAGGAAAUGAAGCGGAAAGCACACAUUCUACUGUCUACCGGACCCGAUUAAUAUAUAUCCCUGAUGUAUCUAUCGAGGAAUCAUAAAGUUAGCAUUAUAGGCCCCCUUUUAACUGAAUAUACUAAGAAUCGACUGUUCUAUUUGUCUUUUGUAAUGAUGUAAGUUUUCCAAGUUUAAGACUAUCUUUACUAGAAAAUAGUUUGCAUUACCUUUUAUGUGAGAAGAUCACUAUAUGAAUGUAAUGGGAAAACUGAAAGUAUUCAGUAAUAUUGUAUAAAGUAACUACUGAAGCACUAACUACCUUAAAACUAGUUUGUUAAUAAAGGUUAAAAUGUGAUGUGGUUAUAACCAUACUGAUUGAUGAGUAUAUAACACGACGACCUGCUGGCGUCGAAACUGAUGUGACAUUUGUCACCCCUUGGCCUGUCGGCCAAACUGUAGUGAAUAGUCGGGAUGCGGGAUUGUCAGUCUCGUAUAGAUCUAUACACACAAUGCUCGUUCUCCGUCUAGGAGACUCUGGUUACAAAAGUGACCUAACAAGUAUAGUGCUAAGCCGUGAAGUAGUUUCACAUUAAUGUUAUCUUGUUCUUGUAAAAGGUUGUAUGUUCCUUUCUGUUUUUGUUAUUGUAUGUUCCUUUCUGUUCUUGUUAUUGUAUUUUUUGAAACCCCUAAACUACACCUAUUAUAUUUUACUAGUAUGUUUGUUUUGUAUUGUCCCUGAUUUGUAGAAAAUAAUCAAUUAUCUACUGAGUUAUGAUUAUAUUUUAAAAACAAAGUUUUAUAAACAACAAAGUAACAUAACUUUAAAAGAGUUAUUGAAAUGAUUUGAUCACUUAUAAAAGCAUAAGAAAUCCUUUAAAAUGAUGGUUAUCACAGAUAAACAUUUACACAAUAUCAUUAUGUUCAACUUGUAUUGCUCCCCCCUCCCUUAAAAGCAUUUAAAGCAUUUAAAAGAUUGAUUAUAGGGGUAUGAACUCACCUUAUGUGGGUGAUUCAAUUGAAGAUUCGCGUAAGGAUGAGAAGUUCCACGAAUGAAGUCCUGUGGCACAAACGAGUCCUAAAUGACAUAUAUUGAUACAUAUAUGUAUAUAAUUAGUGCCUAAAACAACUAAUCAUGAAGGGAAACAACCUUAGGAACUAGGAAAAACUUGAUAUGAAGUGUUACAAUCAUAUGUGAUUGAUAAAAGGGAUUUCACGGCCACACUAAGUGUGUUUACGGCCACACUAGAGUUUACGGACAGAACACAUGAUGUGUUCACGGCCCAAGCUUGAUUCUAUGAAGUGGUUGGGGUCCUAUUCUUGGUCUUAAGAAGGUUCACGGCCAAAAUCAUGACUUUAUGAAGGGUUUACGGCCAAAGGAAGAGUUUACGGCCGUAACCUCUUGAGGAUUAUGCACUAAUUGUUUGUUUCAUGGCUAGGAAUCAAGUGUUUCUUAUGGGUAACAAGAUGAUGGAAGAGAUACUCACACUUUGGAGGUCUUUAAGGUGUUUGCGGCCCAAGAAACAAGUAGGUGUUCUUGGUGAAAAGGAUGAUGAUUUGAAGAUCUAACCCAAAAGAGUUGAAUUCAUGGAUGAAAUCAAUGGGUUUUACAAGAUCAAGAAGAAUAUCAAGAAACAAUGGAAGAAUCACAUACAAUAUUGAAAAGAAAUGGAAGUGUUCUUGAUUAUACUUGAGAGAGAAAUGAGUUUCAGCCGCCUUGAAGAUGUGAAGAAUGAUGAAGAAAUGAAGGAAAUUGAUACAUAAAGGGGAGGGGUUCACAACUGGCUAGAGUUUACGGUCGUAAACUCUAGUUUGCGGCCGUAAACUCCUUGUGAUGGAGUUUCUGGAUCGAUUGCAACCCAAUAAACUUUAUCUAACACAUCCCUACACACAAUCCUUAAGUGUACUAGGCUUAGAACACUCAAACAGACCCCUAACAAUGCUAAAAGAUAGCAGAAACACGUCUGACAUUUGAUUGGAUUGAUUGGCUUUACCAGAUAGAAAUUUUGGGGUGUCACACAUAAAUUAAAAUAAUUGAAAUGAUUUAUAUUCGAUUUGCUUGGAAAAUGAAUCCAUCAUUUAUGUCAUAUUAUACAUAAAACCUAGUAUAUGAUCAUGAUAGGCGCAUAUCAUAAUAUACAAAUUAGAUACAUGGUUAAGUCACCGAAUGACUAUAGGAACAUUGUAAGAGUACUUUAGAAGGACUAAGAGAAUGUAUAUGAGACAUAUAGUUUAGAAUAAAAUCUUCAUGUAAAGAGCUACAUAAGAUUCUAAUUUCUCUCUCUCUCUCUCUCUCUUUAUAUAUAUAUAUAUAUANNNNAUAUAUAUAUAUAUAUAUAUAUAUGAAUUAUAAUUGGAUUAUGACUUUAUUGUGGAAUGAAGAGUAAGUUUUGUUGGAAUGAGGUCCAACCAAAACAAAAUGACACAAUAUACUACAAUAUAAGAAUACACUACUGUAUAAUUUUAAAUAUAAUAUGAUUGGAUGAAUGAGUUCAUUGAAAAACUAUGUUGAUUUCUGCCAUUCAAAGAUCACAUAGAAAUCUUUUUGACUUUGAGAGUAUGCUUAAUCAAGCUAAGAAACUCUAUGUCACGAAAGAACACCAAUCAUGUACUCUGAGAUAUUUGACUAUAUCAAGAGUAAAGUCAAAUAUGGAGAUGAUAGUAUUCAUAGAAUUCACACAAAUUAAGUUUAGUCGAACCCAUUAAUAAAGUCUUUCUUCUGAGCUAAGUAUGAGUGGUCACACUUCAGCUAUAAUACUUAAUUAUUCUAGAAAUGGGAUUUUAAUUUGGAUUUAGUAUUUGGAUAUUGUAACAUUGUAACAACAACUAUUAUAUAUUGUUUUGAUAUACUGGGAUAUGAUCAUAACAUCAAUACUUUUUGUGUUCUAUAUUAACAUGUUUAAUCCAUGAAUAAUAUUAUUAUUCUAAAAGUUCAAUGUCGGUUAUAAUUGUGGGAGAAAUUAUGAAAUAAGACUAAUAUUAAUUGGAUUGGUUGACUUUCAUUGGAUGAAGGUUGGCAAUGGGUUGUAACCAAGUUUCAUAGGCUCUUGUCAUAGAACUGGUCUUGAAUUGACAUGCAUCAAGAUCAUCUUAUGGAUCACUAUCAUGAAUGAUACUUUAUUAAAGGUACUACAUGUGUAUCCUUAACACCUAAGAUACAUAACAGGACUUAAGUUAUGGAGUGUUGUGCUUAGAUAUGGUCAAACACUGGUCCUUAAUCGGGUAGUUAUAAAAGUUAUUUUCAGGUAUGGUAUGAACUAUGCAAGAGGCUUAUGUAGUCAAAAUGAGAUUGUUCCUCUUAUGUGUUGAGAGUUAGAAAUAUAAGGCGCCUUACCAAAAGUUAAACACCAAAUGAUAUUUAAAAUUAUUUGUAUCUCAUGUUCAACAUGAUGUCUGUGACAAAAGGAUAACUGAUAAACUUACCUUAUACACCAAUUGUAACUUGGAGCUUUUUAGGAAUUCGAUGUUGAUAGAAUGGCACAAAGUCGUAUGUUGAUGAGGGCAGUGAAAUGUUGGUAGACGUUCACCACUUUCUAUAUCAGUCGAAUAUGAGUCUUGCGCAAGUGAGAGAUUGAAGGAUCUUAUAUGAUCAAGAAUCAUAUUAAAAUGAUAUUGCUAAUUAACAUAUGAUACUAAUGGGUCACACUAACAACAACUUGAUAGGAUUGGUUGUUUAUUAGAAAUUGAUUUUAAUAAAUAUUAAAUAAAUUCUUAUAAUUAAAUUGGAAAUUAUUUAUUUCUAGGAAAUAAUAAUUUUUUAUUUGCAAGUAACAUUACAUAAUUCAUAUGGUAUGAAUUAUUAUCAUGUACAACAUUUUGGACUAGAUAAAUUCUUUUGUCUUUUACCAAAAAGUUAAAGUUUAUAUUUUAUAAACUUGGUUUAUAAAAUAUAAAACUCAUGAUUUAUUUUUAUAUCUUAAUGGCCAAAAAUAGAUGGAGGGACAAGAAAGUUAGGAAACAACAUGAUUGUAUUAAUUUAUUCACAAAGUCAUGCUUUUGUUUUUAUAGACUUCUGUUGCUAGGGACAUGUUGUCUUUAAGCACAACCUUGCUUUAAGUUGAGUAAAUUACUAGCUUUUGGGCCUUGUUUUUUACUAGUAAAAAACAUGAGAUACAUGGGGAUAUGCAUUACUCUCUCAUUUUGUUCAUCUUAUGAUUAUAUUGCUUGCAUCUUAUACUCUCUUGAAGUUCAUAUUGGUUAUGAACUUCAAGCUUAAGAGAUUAAGAGUUUCCUUACAAGACUAGCAUCUUAAGUCAUGUUGACAACUUUUUGGUGUCUCAAAAGUUCUACGUUCUUCAUCAACUUCCAAGCCUCCUAAGAGGAUCCAAAGAACUACAAAGGUUGUUAUUUGUUCUUCUUCUUCUCUGGUUGUGUUUGUUUUCUUUCCAAACUUUGCAAGAUGAUCAUUGGUGGGUUAUAAACUUGUUUUAUGUUAUUCAAAUCAUCAAGUCUUCCGUUGCUAAAUAUUAUAUUUUUAAAUAAAAACCCAACACUUUGAACCUUGAUAACUCUUGUAUACGAACUCUAUUUGAGUUGAAUUUUUUUCAUUGUAUUAUUUGUAACAAGGGCUAUCAAUGGACAUAUCACCUCGAUAUUUGGAUAUCAGAAAGUCAUAUUUUGUAAGCUCCAAAGUAGGGUACUUGUUGGUUUUUCAAGUUUUUCAAAUAUUGUUAUAUAUAUAUAUAUAUAUAUAUAUAUAUANNNNNNNNNNNNNNNNNNNNNGACACAGAAGGGUGUAUCAUUAUAUAUUGAUUAAAUACAUCACAAAACUAAGAAACCACUUGAAAAGUCUAAAAUCAUAGCCUUCAUCACAAAUGCCUUCACAAAUGCUAACAUCGGUUUCAAUAUUUCCAUACUCAACACGGGGAAGAAAAUAUAUCUUGAACCACUUGAUUUCUUCACAACUUGCACCAAAUGAACCAAGAAAGCUUGAGAUUGAACCCUAAGGUUUUUCUUAUCCUUGAAUCGCCAUUUCAUAGCCUCAUUUCUUCUCUUUAUGUUGUCCCUUGGAUGAAAUGAAGAUAGUGUACACUUAUUUUUGGAUUUUUCACAUUUGGUCCCUCUAGUUUGUUCAUUUCGUCCAAAACUCACUAAACCUCAAUAUUUGUGACUUUAACUCAAGUUUUGACAUAAGAAGUCCUUCCUCAGCCAUUUUAUAACCUAGAUAGUCCCUUCCAUUGAGUCAACCCUUUGGUUAACUCACUUUGCCAAUUGACACGUUUGGGCAUCUAACCUUUAAAAUGUUUUUAUUUUCACUUCUAAUUUUCCUCUCAUCACAUUUGAAUUUCCUCGAUGGCCACAUCACCUUGGUCGUUUUUCACAAUUAGUACAAGUAGUUAAUGAUCUAAGGUCAAAUGAUUAGAAUAAUACCAAAUCAACAAACAAAAAUUAACCCAAUAUAUAAAGAAAUAGGGUGUUUAUAUAGUCUAAAAUGUUGUACAAACUAUAAAUUCAAUGCUGAAAUAACGCAAAUUUAACUUUGAUACCAUAUGUUCUUGGACUGGUAAUGUAACGUCCCAAAAUUCACGACCAAAAAUUUCAUUUUAAUAAUAAUAAAACCAUCAUCCAAAACGUUUUCAUAAAACCAUAAUGUAAUCAGAGUAUGUCAAUAAUCAUCCAAAUACAUCAAGUCAACAAAAUGUGGAACAAUAUGGUGUGUGCGAUGCGAUCAUCCCGAGAUCUUCCCAUUCGAUCCAGAAGUACCUGAAAUAUAAACUGAAAAACUGUAAGCAUGAAGCUUAGUGAGUUCUCCAAAUACCUCAUACCAUACAUAUCAAACAUACAAUGGACCAUGCCCAACAACCAUCAAGCCACGCUCCGAACAUAUCUGUCAGAACAUGAGAUGGGUCCCAUCCGUCACAUUCAUCAGGCCCUACCUGGCAUCGAGCCCCGCUCGGUAUACAUAUAACAUACUACACAUGCAAGAGUCACACAGACAACUAGCAUCCUAACAUAAUAAAUCAUGGGACAGAAUUGUUGUCAUCGACCCGUCAAGCACAGUGAGGAGACUCACCUCAAACAGCUGAAAAUCAGCUAAAUGCUUGGACUAUUGAUCCGAAAAAUCCUCACGCUAAACAAUCAAACAAUACCCUAAUUAACAAUUAGGUUAAAAUUCAUAAUCGGGGUCCCCGACCCAACACCCUCGGACUCAAGGGUAAAAGACUAUUCUACAUUUUCCCUUAUUGGUACCAACUAGCUUGGCCUCCCCAAAUUCAUUAUCAUUUUACAAAAUUUAUUUAUGCUUAUUUUAAAAAUCAGAGUAUCCAUUUUAAAAAGUAGUAUUGCGGAAUUUGUUCCAAAAAAAACAUGAUAAUAAUAUCAUCAACGCAUUUCCAAAUAAAUGUAUUUUGUUUAUAUUAAAACUUUGAGAUGUCAUUGUCAAUACAAAAACAUAAGCAUAAACAAACCUUACAUUCAUUUACACUAAUGAUCACAUCUCCUUUAACUUCUCAGUGUAAUGUAGCUUCGUAUCGACACCUAUGAUACAAAUAAACUGAGUGGGUUAGGUUGGGAAACCUACUGAGUACAUAGGGUUUUCAACCCAUAAUAAUAAAGUUCUUUGGUUUCAUCAUCAAACAAUUAACCCAAUUACUCAUCCCCUCCCCCCCAUUAUCUUCUUUAUUCUUAAUUAUCUUCCCUAAGAAUCAUCUAUUCCUCAAUAUUUAUUCCUAAGGAAUGUCCUAAGGAAUAGGCAUGAAGUCCAUCGCUGCCAGGGUUUAUAUAACAGACACUAAGUCCAUAGUUGCCGAUGUUAUCUAUUAGGCACUAACUCCAUAGUUGUUGAUGUUAUCUGUUAGGCACUAACUCCGUAGCCGUCAAUGUUCAUUUGUAAGGCACUAAGUCCAUAGCUGCCAAUGCUCAUCUAUAAGGCACUAAGUCCAUAGUUGUCAGGGUUUUUAGAGUACAUCUGGUGAACACAUUGUUCACAACACCUACAGGUUGCGAGUCUGAUAGUGUUCCACAGGAUUGUCUAGAAUAGUUUGUGGUUGUCAUCUAUACUCUGCUAGAUUACUAGGCCAUCGCUUGGGUCAUCGUUUCUCAUCAUCUUUCACCUCUCAUCAUUUAUAUCAUCUUUCAUCUCUCAUCAUUCAUCUCUCAUCCCAUCUUUCAUCUACCCAUCUUUACCUAUCAUAAUUAUAGGUAUAAAAUAUGUAUACAGUUUAAAUCAAAUAAAACAUGUAUAUUUUGUUCAUCCAACAUAGAUAUAAAGAACACAUAUAAUAUGCACACAUAGCACAUAAUUUAUAUUAAAUACGUCAUAUCUAUGUGUAAGAUGAAAGUAACUAUGCACUCACUUGUUAAAGUGAUGAUUCCAAACUCGGGCAGCGCUUCGCUUCUAACAAGUAUAUUCUCCUUUGACAAAAUCUAGUAUCAUUACCGCUAGAUUUAGUAUAAUAUUUACAGCAACUAUUUACGAGAGAUAUUGUUUUAUAAGUGUUAAAUAAUACUUUUCAACCACUAUGUACAAAUAGGGGUCAUACAUGAAACACCGGAGGGCGGGACCAUUUUGGCAUUAUAGUUGUUCUGAAAUCCAACAAUCCUAUGCGACCCUUCAAACCAGAUUCCCCGUACCAUGAGCAAUUAAAAGGUACUAUAACACUUUUAUAUUUUAUAAUACGUGCAUAUAUUGUUCAUAAUAACGACAUUAAACUUAAACAUAAGCUAUACUUAAAGUAGGGUAAGCAUAACUCACUUACUAGGAGGUUUCGCUAGGAACCGCGCUCUACGGGGGUAGAACUUUAGAGCCGAAACUCUUCUUCUCAGAGCCUUCUAGUGCUCCGGGACGCGCAUCUAACACUUAGGAAGUGCUAGGCAGGGGGAGGGAUAGGUUUCUAGUAUUGAGAGAGAAAGAAUGGGAAAGGUAUGAAGAAAAUGAAUUAUUUGCACCUCUAUUUAUAGGUUGUUUGGGACGAUUCGCGUCCUGAAUUUAAAAUUCAUGUCGUGACCUUGCGUAAGCACCAAGGCUGCGCCUGGUGCUGACACGUGGCAAAAAUAAAAUAAUAGAUAAACCAAAUAUCUAUGAGUAACAUAAAAAGUGAUUUUUUGAUAAAUUUCUUUUUAGCCUUAUCCGUCUAAACAAAAGUCGUGGUAUACGUUAAACCGAGAAGGUGCAUAAAAAGAACGUACAAAUCUGACUUCGUAUGAGGAAGUUAUGAUUUUUCUAAGAUUUAGCAUAGCAAUGCACAGCCUGAAAUUCGAAUUUUAGAUCGAUCGAUUUGUAGCUAACACAACCUAAAUGAGAAUUUAAGAUCUCAUUAAUAGGAUCUCAUCGAUAAAAAGACAGUCUAAAACAAAGUCCGUAUGUAGAAGUUCUGAAUUUUACACGGUCGUUAAAUAGUGUAAUCUUCUUAUACUUUAAAUUUAAAAUCGGUCAAGAAUUAGCCAACAGAGUCAAAAUGACAGUUGUAGAUCUUGUCAAUACCUACGUGUGGAUAUAAAGAACGUCAAAAACGGAGCUUGUAUGCGAAAGUUACGGAAUUUAGAAGUCGGGUUGGGCUGAUGCGAAGUGGGUGACGGGACGUGAUUUGAGUCAUUGCUUCCUCCCCACGCCUUGCCACAUGGUGGUGACACCUGGCACCCCAAUCGUCGAGUUGGAGGCUCAGAACUCUCUGAGUUCAGCCAUUUUUCAGCCUAUAAAUACCAUGCGAGGCUCACUCAUUUUCCUCACACCUUAACCCUUUGCUCUGUCUCUAACUUCUCUUUAAAACUCCCCCAACCUCUAGUAACUUCUAAGUGCUAGAGGAAAGCCCCGGAGCGCCAAAAGGCUUCAAGAAAAAGAGCUUUUCGGCUCAGAAGUUAUGCCCCCGCAGAGUCUGGUUCUUAUCCAAACCUCCCAGUAAGUGAGUUAUGUUUACCCUACUUUAACUAUAGCUUAGGUUUAAAUUUAUUAUCGUUAUUAUAAACUUAUAAACAAUAUAUAUUAUAAAAUAUAAUAUCUAAAGUGUUAUUAUAAUAUCUUUUAACUACUCACGGUACGGGGAAUCUGGUUUGAAGGGUCGCAUAAGGUUGUUGGAUUUCAGAAAUGCUAUAAUGCCAAAAUGGUCCUGCCCUCCGGUGUUUCAUGUCUGGCCCCUAUCUGUACAUAAUGGUUGAAAAGUAUUGUUUAACAUUUAUAAAACAAUAUCGAUCUUAAAUAGUCGUAAUAAAUAUUAGACAAAAAUCUAGUGGUAAUAAUUCUAGGUUUCAUCGAAGGGAAAUAGAAUUGUUAGAAGCGAAGCGUUGUCCAAGUUGGAAUCACCACUUUAACAAGUGAGUGCAUAGUUACUUUCAUCUUACACAUAGAUAUGAAAUAGUUAAAAUAAAUUGUGUGUUAUGUGUGUAUAUUAUAUGUGUUCUUGAUAUAUAUGUUGGAUGAACUAUUUAUACAUGUUUUAAAUGAUUUAAAUUGUAUAUGUAUUUUAUAUCUACGAAAAUGUUGGGUAAAACAUGGGUAGAUGAAAUAGUUGAUGUGUGAUGAAAUAAAAUGAUGAGAGGCCUUGAUGUUUACGAUGAUCCAGUCAUCUAACGGAGUAUAGAUGACGACCACAGACUAUUCUAGAUAGUCUAGUGGAACGUCGGCAGGCUCACAGCCUGUAGGUGUUUAUUUGAACUACGUGUUCACCAGGUGUACUCCAUCCCCCUCAUGGUUGCCUUAUUUGACAUAAAUUGUUGAGGAAUCCCCUGAGCAAUGUUGUCCAUCCCAAUGAAAAUCCCUCGGCUAGGUCCCUUACUUUAGAUGCUUUAGGGACAGCAAGUGAGGAUAACGGGAAUGGGUAAUCGAGUAGUUUGAUUAGAUGAAACUAAUAAACUUAAUUAUUGUGGGUUGAAAACCCUAUGUGUUCACCAGGCUCCCAAGCCUGACCCACUCAGUUUCUUGUAUACAGGUAGUGGCAAGAGAGCACAUGAGUGAUGGUCUGAUGAGAGAUCAAUGGAUUAUAGGCCACUAGAAUAAAUAGAUGUUGUAAGGCCUAUGUUAUUUAUGUUUAUGCUUUUGAUCUGUAUUACGCGUCAUAAAGGAGCGUCGUAAAUGCACGUCGUCUCUUGUUAUGACAUGGCCUUCCUUGACGCGCAUUUGCGCGUCGUCUGAGCGUUUUACGACACACAUUGCGCGUCGUAAAAGGCUAUUUUUCUAGUGGUGACAAUGACAUCCCAAGGUUUUUAAUAUAAUGAAAAUACAUUUGUUCGGAAAUGCUUUGAUAAAUUCUUUAUCAUAUUUUUGGAACAAAUUCUGCAACAUAUUUCUUUAAAAGUAUACUCUGAUUUUCAAAUAAAGCAUAAACAAAACGAUAUUUUCUGGCCGUGAAAUUGGGGAUGUCACAAAAGCCAAUUGUUCAUCCGAACCCCGCCUUAAGGUCACAUUCUUUUUGGUCAGGCGGGUCAAAGGCACUGCAAUCUUGGAGAAGUCCUGAAUAAAUCUUCGAUAAUAUCCCCCAAGACCCAAGAAACUCUGAAUCUCGUAUGCAUUUUUCGGAACUUCCCAACGAAUCACAUCCUCAAUUUGGGCAGGGUCCACCAAGAUACCACCAUGGUUGAUGAUGUGCCCCAAAAACUGCACCUCAUGCAACCAAAACUCACAUUUAGAGAAUUUGGCAUAAAGCCUCGUCCUCCUCAAGGUCUCCAACACCUCUCUCAAAUGUUGCUCAUGCUGCUCUUUGGUCUUAGGGUAGACCAUAAUAUCAUCAAUUAAAACAAUCACAGACUGAUCCAACAUCGUCCUACAAACUCGGUUCAUGAGAUCCAUGAAUGUUGCAGGUGUAUUAGUGAGCCCGAAAGGCAUCUCCACGAACUCAUAAUGACCAUAACGAUUUCUGAAGGUUGUCUUCUGUAUAUCCUCAUCCCUAAUCCUCAUCUGAUGGUACCCUGACCGGAGAUCAAUCUUGGAGAACCAAGAUGCACCCUAAAGAUGGUCAAAUAAGUCGUUGAUCCUUGGGAGUGGGUAACGGUUCUUCAGCAUCAGCUUGUCUAAUUCCCGAUAAUCAAUACACAUCAUGUGUGACCCAACCUUCUUUUUCACGAACAAGAUUGGUGCUCCCCACAGGGAACUGCUUGGGCAAAUAAAAUCAUUGUCUAGCAGCUCAUAUAGUUGCGUAGACAACUCCAGCAUCUCAGGCGGUGCCAGGCGAUAUGGUGCCUUGGCUAUUGGAAUCAACCCAAGCAUCAAAUAAAUCUAAAACUCAACUUGUCUCUCGGUAGGCACUCCCGACAACUCCUCGGGAAAGACGUCGGGAAAAUCCCGCACGAUGGGUACACUGCUCAACUCUGACAUGGCCUCAACCCACAAAUCUAAGACAUAUGCCAGAAACCCAGAACAACCCUGCAAAAGAAGCCUCCUAGCCCUUGCGACUGAACAGAGAGUUGUCCCAUGUGAAGCUUCUCUUGCCCGUGAUGACUAGUUCUCCCCACUAGGGGUUCAAACUCUCACCAACUGCCACUCACAAUCAAUCACAGCCCCAUUGGGCCCCAACCAGUCCAUCUCGAUGAUCACCUUCAAUCCCUCAAGGGCAUUGAUACCAAGUCGAUAGGAAACCUCUCGCUGAACAUGUUCAGAAUAAUUCUAUGGAAUACCCUCUCAUCACUCACAGUACGAUCAUCCACAAUCUCCACCCCCGAAACAAAAAGAACAUGAGCCGACAAUCCAUUGACCAAAAAGGUCCCUAUACAAGAUCAUAAUAACAUAAGCAUAACAAGAAAACAAUAAAAGAUAGAGAUAAGUCACAUACCACUAACGAAAUCUGGCGUUGCUCGAGCCUCAUCAGUGGUCGGCUGAAACAUUCUGCUCUUCACCGCAGGAGCCUCCGCCUUGCCCUAACGGCCACUGUAAUCCUCAAAGUGUCAGGCACAGGCGCCGUUACUGAUCCAUGAAACAACCUCAGACAAUUGGCCUUUUUAUGGCCAGUCUAGUUGCAGUGAAAAAAAAUCAAGGCCUUCUUGGGUCUGUCCUUACUCAUGCGGCUUGUCGUACUUGGUGCAUCGGCCCCGGCUCAGAUGGCCUCUACUGUGAACAUCGAAGGUCUUAGGCUUCUUAGCCCGACCCACUGUCGUCUGAACCUGCUCUAGCUUCUGCUUUGUCCGGAGCUCCAACUCGAUUUCCCGCUCACUGGCCUUCUCAAUCAUGUCAUUCAGGGUAUUGCACCCUGAAAAGCUCACAAACUCCCAAAUAUCAUCCCUCAACAUACCAUGAUAUCUCGUCUUCCUCAUCUCCUCAUUCGUAGCGUACUGCGGAACCAGUAAUGCCCUCUCCCUGAACUUGGCGGUAAUCUAUGCCACAGUCUCUGUAGUCUGGUGAAGGUAUUGGAACUCCCUCACCAGGUGUUGCACCUCAAUGAUCGGUGCAAACUCCCUAUCAAACCUCCACACAAAAUCCUCCCAUGUAAUCACUAUCACACCCGCCGACCCAACAUCACGGGUAACCUCCUCCCACCAGUCCCACGACCAAUCCCUCAACAUACAGGGCACGAAUCCCAUAUUUACCGCCUCGAGGCAAAAGCUCUUGCGUUGAGCAUUCUCCAUGUCAGCGAUCCAGUGGCGAUUAGAGAUAGGGUCCUUAACCCUAAAGAACUCAGGUGCUCCGCAUGCCUUGAACUCCCGGAAUGAGAGAGUUCGAGUCCCAAUCUGAAUCGCAACGAUCUCGGCUCAAAAAGACCUGAUCCAUUCCUCCAUGAUCUCCAUGAUUCCCUCAUUGACGGUACCGAAAAUCAAUGGUUUAGCGUCAAGGAUGCCACGAGUGACCUCGGUUGCGAUAAGCUCGUGCAGCCUCUCAUUAAUCAACUCUACACCAGAACCUGAAAUCGAUCCUGAGUCCGAUCCUGAACCUGAACCACCUCGUGUAGCCAUCACCAAGCUUAACUAAAAAAUACAACAUACAAAGCAAUCUAUAAGGAAGUUCGAAAAGAUUCCUCCCCGCCGGACUCCUUAGAGUUUCCAGGUUUGUCUUUGUCUCAGGUAUAGGUCUUGUGCUUUAAGUGGUACACGCCCAAUACUAUCUUCCACACCUACCUGCACCUUCCUCAAGGUCAUGCCUGAUACCUCUAAUUCACCCAACAAUAUUCAGAACAUGACCCAUAUAACACAGUACAUACGUAUAUCCUAUACUCUUGUAGGAUUUCUCAAUCCUCACAGAACCAGAACCUCAAUUAACACUACAGGUUGCCUUAUGCAUGAAAGUUAUACAUAAAUAGAAUCACAUAGACUGUCAAAUAAAGUUUCUACCUUAAUUCCACAACCAAACAAGGAACUAGAAAUGAGGCAGAAUCCAUCAUUCUAGGGCUAUGCAAUCCUAAACAUAUACAAAUUUGAAAGCAUACAAUUAGCCAAUAAUAGAGUCACAUCGAUUCCAAGAAAUAUAUAGCAUCGAAUUCUACUAGGUUAAAAGGCAUCACACACAAAUCAGGCAAGUUUAUCACCUAAUUCCUGAAGGUGUCCUUAGCUAUAUUCUAGCACGCAUAUUAACAUACUAGUUGCAAUUCAUAAGCAUGGUUUAAUUUUGGGAAACACUUACUUGAGCUCGGUCGAUCGCACGCAUUGCACUCUUCCUUGUUACUUAAGAAUACUUUUUUUAGAAAAUCCUUACUCUUUUUCUUUUGAAAAUUUUAUCAUUUCCUCAGUUUGAGUUCUGACACACCCGGGGCUGUGCUCGAAUCCCUCAAACCAAUGCUUUGAUACCAACUUGUAACAGCCCAAAAACCCAAUAAAAUUUUUCAUUUUUAAUUAUAUGUUAUAAUAAUAUGUUUGAUACCAAAAAUCCAAUACAUAAUCAUCAUCAUAUAAAAUCAUCAGAGUUCCAAUAACAGUGAAUGCGGAAAAUAGUGAAGAGUGAAUAUUGCACCAUCAAAUCGGGCCCUUCCCAUUAGAACCGGAAGUACCUGAAACCACAACACGAGCUAUAAGCUAAAGCUUAGUGAGUUUUCCCAAAAUAACACAUACCAAUCAUACACAUGGGCCCAGCCUUAGGGUUCAUUCCAACCUGAAACAAGUAUGGGCCCCCGCCUUGGGGCCUCGCCCUGGGGUAUAAUUCAACCCAAACAUAUCACAAUGGGCCCCGUCCUGGGGUAUAUAUCAACUCGCCAUGCCAUAUUGGGCCUCACGCUGGGGUAUAUUUCAACCCGAUCACAACAUGUAACACACAACAACUAGCAUACUACAUAACUAGAUAAUGGGUCAACCUUGGUACCUUCGACCCGUAAUAUCGGAAAAAGACUCACCUCGGUCUGCUGAUAAGUACAAAUUGCUCGACUAUCGAUCCAUAAAUCUCACACUAUAUAAAUAUAUAAAUUACUAUAAUUAGAAUUAUGAUACAAACCCAAUCUGAGCCCAAAAUCCCAAAGUCCAACUCUUCAAAUAAAGCCCAAAAUCAUUUUCCCCUUUAAUGGGCCUAACCACAUUCGGCCCACUAAAAUAACGGGCCUAAGGCCCAAAAGGCACAACCGAAGACACACAAGGCCCACAACAAAGUGGGUCCCACCUAUCCUAACUAGUCCAAGGCCUAAAUCAAUAUUUUGGAAGUCCACAAAGCAACCCCAAACUCCUAGGGUCCAAAAAUGAAGCCCACUACCGAAGGCCCAAACAGCGCAGUCCACUGUUGAGUACGAUGGGCGUACACAACUUGUACGCUAAGCGUACACGCUUCAGGGGUUGUACGAUGUGUGUACAAGCACAUCGUACAAGCCCAUACGCCCAUCAUACUCCUCAGGUUUUCCAAAUUUGCAUUUUAGCUCUUAAAUGGAUAAGACAUUAGUCCCAAGACACAAAUCUGAUCUCCUUGAAGUGGUUCAUCAUGUAAAGUUGCAAACUUUACACGCAUGCAAGGCUCAAUAAGGUCCUAAACCUCAAAAGAGCUUAAUAAAUGACUUAAUGCUUGCAUGGAGGUCACAAACACCAUAAAGUUUGUAUCUUUAAGCUUAAGGAGUCCCCUAAACGUCCAAAUCUACAAGAUUGGCAUCUCAAAUGGUCUUAACUCAUCAAGACCAACCAAAGGGACCAAAACAAACCAAAAUAAGCUUAAGAUGAGAUCUAAGCAAUAGAUGAGCAAGGUAUGAACUUUAUACCUCCAAAAGCUCCUUAAAUUGAUAAGGAUGUUGGAUUUAGAAGUUCAACCACGUCCAAGACUUGCACCACAAGAUCUUCUUCUUGCAAACACACCAAAAAUGGAUCCUUUUUGUUAUUUCAAUCUCAAAAUCACCUAUAAUGGCUAUUUAUGGUUUUUAAGGACAUUUAAAGGUAAGGGGGCUGAUAAAGGUGAGGGUACAAAUGCCAUAAAUGGGUUUAAAUAGGGGACAAGUCCGAAUAUUAGGGUUUUAGACACAAGUCACGUACGCCCCGCAUACCUCCUCGUAUACCACACGUACGAGGCUCGGCUGCCCGAUCAUGUGCGCCUCAGUACAUUAAGUGUACAUGCACAUACGCCCAGCAUACGAGGGGUCCUCCUUGCCAACUAAAAUUUCAUCAAAAACUUAAAAGGGAAAUACCUUAUUUCGGAUGUUACAAAGGAUUUGCACAGUGUUGCAUGGUAGGAUGCCUGAUUAGGAGAGAUGCCUUUAUGUUUUUUGUGUGAGUUGGUAGUGAUGCAUGCUAGUAACUAGAGAUCUUCAGGAGCUUUUGACGUAGAACUGCUUAUUUAUGUGAUGUUUUUUUGUUCUAGAUGCUCGGAUGUUGCUUGAUUUGUGCUUUAUAGGACUCAUAUUAAUGUAAGUUAUCUAUCGCAUGAAUAUGUUUAGUUACAUGCAGUGAAGGUUAAAUAAUCUUAGAGUGAUUGACUUUGCCUUAUUGUGCAGCUCUCAUUUGAGUCUAACCGUUGUAUGGUUGGGUCUUUUAGUCGAAGGAUUAUGUAAGUUUUGUUACAUGUAACUGUAUUCGUGAAGUAGUUAACUGACAUUGGUAGAGGUCCUUCAGAAGUUGAUGGCAGGUUGAAGUGGUAAUCCUAAAAGAGCCUAUGAAGAGCUUUAGUACGAGUGAUGCGCCAUUCAGCAGAUUUUGGAGGGUAUCAUUGGAAACGAAUUAGAGGAUUCGGGAUGAUUCUGAGGAAAGUACGGAUAAGUGUGGAAGGUAGUAUUAGGCCCGUACUACUAGAAGCACAUGAUCCGUACUCGAAUCAAGGAAAGUCCCGAAAAUUCUGAGGAUUUGGUUGAGGGUAGGAACGUGGUUUGGCACCAUGAAUCUGUUGUAGCAUUUUUGGUAUUAUCAGUUUUUCGGUUAUGGCGGUCCAACAAGAAGGUGGGUUGGGUGAUUAUUUGGGCCUUAGUGGCCAUGUCAGUUGGGGUUGAAUGGUGCAAACCUAGAUGAGUAGUUAAUCUCAAUGUUUUGGGGGCCUUACUGGAGGAAGUGAUAGUCGGAGUCGCGGGACUCAAUAACGAAACAAAUGGGAUGAGCGGCUUGAGGAUUGCAGCCUUGAGGUUAAGUAACCACCUUAUGGCUUAUGAUGUCAUUUUCUAUGACGGGGAUUCUGUUCUUCCAGUUUCUAUGUUGGGGAAAAAGAGACUGAGUAUAAGAUUGUAGAGAUCGGAGGACGACCCAGUAAGGGAAACUAAAUGGUUACGGUAUCUGUGAUAAAGGUGGAAAUGCACGAGAGGAUUAUUGUGUUUUGAUCGCCUCGAGAAGAUUUCAUGUGUGGAAAGAGAGUCAUUUUUGUGGAGACUAUACAAGAUGAGAACUAGGGGUAUGAUUUCCUUGAGUUCAGUUAGAGCAUGUCCUAGCAUGUUGUUCCACGUGAUCAGGAGAAGUGAAACGGGAACGACAAUCUUCGUUUUCUAUGUUAUAUCUCGACAAUGAGGAUGAUGCCUCAUGUUUUUAUGAUUGUGUAUCGCAAUGGAACGGUGGUCAGAGAUUAAUAGGUGAAGUGUGUGGUAUUCUAACUGUUCUUCUAUGGAGAAUCAGUGCUAUGGAUAGGCUAUCAAAGUUAUUGCUUGUGCAUUCGCAUGAGAUUCUUGAUGAUAGAGGUGGUUAUGAUUGAGAAGUUUCUGAGGUAUCCGUCUGAGAUUUAGAAUGUUUUUGAGUUGUUGGGUCUUUAUCUGGGAGAUCAUCUUGUGUUUUGUUAUACAUUCCAAGAUUCGGGGAUGGUAUGUAUCUGGCAAAGUCAGUUUGAAGUGUGGGUUGUCUGCAACGUCAGUUGGUGAUAGUUUGAACCCAAGUGGGUGAGAACUGGGCAUGCUACUUGACAGAUCAUCGAUUUGUUUAGUUCACAGGUUCAAAAUAAUGGGUUAUAGGGAUCUAUGAUUCGGAUAUGCGAGGCUUUGGUUCAAGAUGUGGUCAAGACGAGGUGAAAAGCAAGUUAAUUUUUGGUGUAUGUGCUCAGGAAUGCACGAGUUGUCUUCGCAACAGGAAGUUGUUAGUCAGGGAGCUUGUUGUAGCCAGUGGUCCCUUUCGGGGAUGUCGAUGAACUGGUCACGAGGUGGUUAAGUUUCUCAGGUCGAGUGUCGGUUGUUAAAUAAUUCGUCAACUCAGGGUAUAGAUUGUUGUUAUUGUCGGUCUAUCAAUCAAAUUCAGAAUUUGGUAUGUGCAGCUCUGCAUGGGUUAGUUCAUUAGAAGAUUGGACUGUUGGGUAGUUACCAGUGUAUCCUCGAUCGUUGAAUGUGCCCGUUUAUCGUCAAUGGGUGGGGAUGCUUCGAAGGUUUUGAGUUGUAUAAUUGGAGGUCAGUGAUCGUGACAACCUAUCAUCAUGUUCUAUUUAUGGUAUAUCAUGGCUUAUGGGUACGUUACCCUAAAUUGUUGGAUUGAGAAAUUAUGGUAUAUAGGUUUGUUUCUGAAGUUAGAAGAACAUUGAAAGGAUUAUAUAUGUGUUCCAAUUGUGGCUCUUUUGGGUUCCUUGUCAUAAGUUAGGAUUGUGGAAGGAUGUGGAAUUGUAUCAAGGGAAGGUACUUCGGAUACGACAAUCUUUUUCGAGAGUACUAAAGUGCUUCAUCUGGUUUGGGGUGUGAGUACCUGAUAUCGUUUGAUCAUGGGAUCUUAGUCCAGUAAGCUAAAUGUGGUGAUGAUUGGGUAGGAAUAUUGUGGGAUGGCUAGGUAAUCCAGUGAUUAUGAAGUUAUUACAAAGUAGAUGAAUCCAAACGAGGGAUGGUCACUUAGGGUUGUCGAGGAUAGUUCCAAGUGUGAGCCACUUUAGAAUUUAUGCCCAUGUUAGAGUUUUGGAUUGGUAUAUCUGGAAGGAGUGCCAGGGUUCCUUGAGGAUGGUAAGAAUCCAAGAUAGGUCAGGAUUGUGAGUGUGGAGCAAACUACCGUGGGGCCGGCGGGGCCUUGAACGGAUAAUUGGGUGGUGUGGAUAAGAUAUUGUUUGAUUAAGGAUUAACUGGGAAGGCCAAUCAACAUGGUAUCAUCCUAAGUCAACUAGAGAACCAGUUUUGGUUGUGAGAGGUUUCAGGGUUAAGCAAGGAAUAGUGUUCUUUGGUCAGUGAUGUAAGAUUGUGGAGCAGCCGUAGCAUUCACCAUGUUAGUGUGCGGUUGUAGGAGUGAUGUAAGACUACGAAGCAGUCGUAGCAUCCACCAGGUUAGUGUAUGGUUGUGGAAGGGAUGUAAGACUUUGGAGCAACCGUAGCAUUCAUUAGGUUAGUGUGUGGUUGUAGGAGUGAUGUAAGACUGCGGAGCAGCCGUAGCAUUUACCAGGUUAGUGUAUGGUUGUGGAAGUGAUGUAAGAUUGCAAAGCAGUCGUAGCAUUUACCAGGUUAGUGUAUGGUUGUGGAAGUGAUGUAAGACUGCGGAGCAGUCGUAGCAUUCACUAGGAUAGGAUGCAGUUGUGGAAGUGUUAUAAGACUGCGGAGCAGUCGUUGCAUUCACUAGGUUGGUAAGUGGUGGUAAAAGUGAUGGAAGUCUAUGACUUGGUUCGUGGCAUUCUCUAGGAUGAUUUAGAUCAUCACAUGGUUGGGUGAAGGUUUGUGGGUAGGCAUCAACAUCUAUAAUACUUGGGAAAUCGUAGGCUGGGUUGGGGCCAGAUGUGAUGUGAGAACUCGGUUUGGUUUGUAGCCGUCACUGGGGAUUAAAUGGACUUGGUGAUAUCAUCAUUCGAGCAUUGGUUAGUUGAUUUGCCCUUCAUUGGGAGUGUAUGAUUGAUGGAUUCGUGUUGGCAGGUAGACCAAGACCACCUGUACCUAUUCGGUUUUUUAGUCUGGAGCUGUUGUUUUCGAUGAGGAUUUAUCGAUACCGGUAAGUGGUUAGAGCGUAUAUGUUUCUGGUAUCCGUAAAUUUGUUCAGGACGAAUACGUUUGUGUGGUUCAGGUUAUGAAGUUGAGUCAUUGUGGGAAUGGUUCGGAAUGGUUCUAUCUUCCUGGGAGUCAAAUAUUGAUCGAUGUUUUUAGUUUUAGGCGUAGCGGUUGGACAUUCAUGGUCUUAGAGCAAAGUUGAGGUUCAUUCUUCAUUAGGGUUUGUGAUUUCCUCUAUUUUGGGUUCGAUGGUAGUAAGGGUGGGUGGUUAUCAGAUUGAGGUGGUUUUCCGAGUCAUCUUCUUGAUUCAGGGAGUUCAGUCAGGAUCGUUUGGUUCGGCAGACGAGAUAGUAAGGAAUGAUUUCAAGUACGGAAUCUAAUUUAAGUGGGGGAGAGUUAUAACACCCUUUUUCGAGUCGUUUCAUAAUUCGGGGUCGAGACCCAAAGAUCAAGUAUCAUAAGGCUUCGGUCUUUGGGAAAGAGAGUUUUAGACCCAUUCUGAUGUGGGCAAUGUAGAUUAUGUGAUCCAAGAGUUCAUUUUGUGAUUUAGAGUCAAAGGGUAAAAUAGGAAAAGUAGUGUUUCAGACUUCUUUUAUAAAUUAUGAAUUUUAGUUUGAUGUGUUUUAAGUAAAUAGUAAUUAGAUAAGGUUGUAGAUCUCCUCAAUACCUUUCCGUGGAUAUAAAGAUCGUCGAAAUCGAAGUUGAAACGAAGAAGUUAUGAUUGUUUGAAGUUUGGCCAGGUUUGAGUUAAGCCACAUAUGCUAAGUGUACGGGGAGUACGUUGGGUGUACCAGGGCAUCUUGAGUACGUUGGGCGUACUAGAAGUACGUCGGGCGUACGUGAUGAGUGCCCAAACCCUAUUUUUGUGGUUUGAGCCCUAUUUAAGCUCCUUAACUUCCCCAAACCCAUUCCAUUUUCAACCUCCACCUCUCCAACACCCUCCCAUGAAAACCCUAACCCUAGUUUGAGCCUUUUGAGCAAAAAAAUGUGUUUUAAGUGCUUUGAAGUGUUCUUGGUGCAUCUUGGAGAAGAAUGGGUUCAUUGGAGAAGUGUUGUUUGCAUUGGAGGUUGUAGAUCCCGGCUUUGUUCACCUUGAUCUUUCUUCUAGAGGUAUAAAGUUUGAAUCUUGAUGAUGUAUUUGUUUGAUCUAGAUAGUUUUGGAUAUUAUGAGCUUUUUGUCAUUUUAGUGCAUAAAGUUUAGAUCUUGAAAGUUUGUUACCUUGAUAUGGAUAAAGUCGAAAACUUUAUCCAUCUAAGCAUCAUUGUGAUUCAGAUCUGAAGGUUGGAGACUUAGACUUAAUGGAUUAAGUUGAAAAGGAUACACGUUUGGUCCCUUUAAUACUUUAAUGCUAGAUCUUGGUGGUUUAUACCAUUUUAUAAUGGAUAAAGUUGGAAACUUUAUCCAUUAUGGAGCUUUUAGGAUCCAUAAUCUUGAUCCUUCGAUGCCUUCCAUGGAAGUGUCAUGAUGUCUUAAUGGACUAAUAAGUUAAGGUUUUGGCUUUUGGACCUUUUCUAGACAUGGAAAGUCAUAAAGGUGGAAACUUUAUGACUUAGAAUGAUGUUGUGGGACUAGAUCUGAGUGUUGGAUGAAAGGACUUAAGAGUUUAAGCACUUAAUGGAAAACUGCCAUCUGGCCAAGUACGUUGCGCGUACUCAUAUGGAGUCCCGUUUCUGGAUGGUGAGUACGCCAUGUGUACGAGCUGAGUACGUUAGACUACUCAACCUGGAGUUUGACUUGUUGAUUUUGACUUGAUAUAGUUCUUCUAUUCAAAAGUUCAAUAUUCAAAUUGUUAUUUUUGGAAAGCCUCAGAAGAGUCGUGAUAAAGAACAGCCUCGGAAUAAGGAGCCCGAAGGGAAAUAAAAGCUUUAGUCUCCCUAACGGUCGACCUUAGUCUCGCUCCUCAGCUCGACGGUUGUGGGGAAUGAACACAAACCGCUUCAAGGCAACGGGCUAUCUCCCAACUUUCACUUUAGGAAUGCCUUUAAGGCUAGCUCUCUCCUUUGGUACUCAAUUGGGUAUAUUCCGUAGUGAGAUAAGGAAUUCAAUCGUAUAUGGUAUUGUACAAAUACAGUAUGGCAGGAUUGACUAGCGGGAUGGUUUCAAAAGAUUGAACGGAUAUACAUUAUCAAAGGCGGAUAACACUUGAUCUGAUAUAUACUUAUACUCCACAUAACUCAUUUUCAUAAAGGGGGCUAUAUCAAAUGAAACAUCCUUGAAAGAAUCAUACGGAAGCUCUCUCGGUACUAAGAUUCCUGGAGGUGCUACUUCUGGUACUCCUUGACCGUUGACUUUUUGACCAAGUUUGACAUUAGGUCAAACUUGAGGGUUUUGGUCUAUUAAAUAAGAUUUUAUCUAGUUCUGGUAUUAGUGGAUUUGCAGGUGCAAGCAGUGCAGAAAAGGGAUCGUGUCGUAGUGUUUCAGAGUUCUUUGAUUCAGGUGAGUCUCCUCCCUGUUAUUGUGAGUUAAAGGCACCAAUUCCUGCUCACUAAAUUAUGUAUGUAGGAUGCUAACUUUCUUUGUGACUCUUGCAUGUUUAUAUGACCCUGUGUGGUAAUAUAUAUAUAUAUAUAUAUAUAUAUAUAUAUAUAUNNNNNNNNNNNNNNNNNNNNNNNNNNNNNNNNNNNNNNNNNNNNNNNNNNNNNNNNNUAUAUAUAUAUAUAUAUAUAUAUAUUUGUAUGUGUGUGUGCUGACUAGUUAGGUCUUACUUGUCGUUACUGUGAUAUGUGAUACUAUGUACUGAGACUGCUGAUAGUCUCCGGGGUCGCUGAUAACACACCGGGUGUGUUGUUUUCCCACUGAGGGUUGCUGAAUGCUGAUAACCCACCGGGCUUUGUGUUUGCCCACCAAGACUGUUAAUAGUUCCCAGGGUUGCUAAUAACCAAUAUUAUUUAUUUGUGUUGUGUGUGGUAUUUUGGGAAACUCACAAAGUUUUGUGCAUACGAUUUGUGGUUUACAUGUUUCAGGUUUUCUUAUAUUAAAGGAGGGGCACGACACGAUUCCAUCGCAUCAAUGGGGGGACUUGUACAUAUGAUAACUUUUAAUGAUACUUUGAUAAAUGUUUUUAAGAUUUGUAGUUGUGAUUUGAAUAAACACUUAAAGUUUUAAUUGAAAAUAUUGGGUUGAAAUUUGGGGCGUUACAAAUUCCGUUUUAAAAAUUCAUAUUUUCUUCGUAUGAACUUUGUUUCUUACCCUUUUUAUAUAUUUGUGUAGCUUUUUCCUAAAACUACAACUCUCCUUUACAUUGCGUUGUCAAAUUUUAACUUUCAUUUAACUCACAUUUUUAUAUUUUAUAAAAAUCAUAUGUCCUUAAUACGAUUUCCAUUUUUGCCCUUCUUCCUUUCAAAUUUCUUAUCUCAUGCUAUACUACAAAUUUUCUUAUUUGUAGUGUUAGCCGAAACUCAAUCAAUAUUUUUUUGCUAUUUUGACGUUAAUAGCGUUAUUAACGUGGUUGUUUUCAAUUCAUCAUAAAAUCAUAACUCUUUCAGUUAGAUUUUGUCAACGUUUACAUUUUUAGGAUCACUAGAUCGUGCAUUUUCCAAAUAUAAACCAUUUUAACUUUUUGAUUACUUUAUUUCGACUCAACUUUCCAUAUUAUUCUUCGAUAUGAAAUUUUUUUAUCAUUAUGAGUCGAUCGUAACCCCUAGUAACAAUUAAUGACGAAAAACACACAAUUGUUACUUUAACUGUGGUAUGUAGUGACCAGGAACUAUCAAAAAUCCGAAAUUUACAAAAACAAUCAGAUAUCUAGGUGUAAUAAUGAAGUUUUGUAUUGAUGCAUAAAAGUGUUGAAAACAACAAAUCGUUAUAAGUGGUUAGCUUUUUUUAUUGGUUUUACUGGUUUUUAUGGUAGAAAUUAAAACAAGUUAUGUUUUUUCAAAAUAAGAUAAAAAAAAAUGCAUGAGUUAGUAUUUCAAACAUUGUAUAAGUUGUGUUCUAGCCUUCUAGGUCUUGGUGCAUCUAUUAAUGAUAAUCGAUUACUCGGUUAUCAAUCUUUUUAGGUAUCCGCAAACGAAUUUUAUUGUUUGUUAUGGUUUGGGUUAUUGUCAGUGUAGCCCAACAAUGUUUAGUAUAUUGGUUUAAAAGGUCCAUUGUAACUUUAUUUUGCCUUUUAGGGGUACGAACUUGUUUUUUACCGUUUUAAAAUAUAUCUUUACCCAUUUUAGGAGGUAACCAUACCUUGUCAUCUGCCAACUAAGCUGCCUUGUCAUCAUUACAUUACUUUGAAUUUGAAUACUUGUUAGUCAAAGUCUCGAUAAGAAGUCAAAAUUAAACACAUAAGUUCACUCGUUUUUACUUUAUCCAUUGAUUUUCUCCUUUAUCGUUCUCACCACUUCCCGAUUAAAACAUGUCUCGUAGUUUCCAUCAUUUGGAAGCUGUGCUCUUUAUUUUGAUCUCAAUUUCUGUGUUUAUGGUUUCCUCCCACACUAUCAACACCAGCCCAGAAGAUCACGCUUCAAUCGGAGGCGAUUAAGUAAAUGAUCGUCGAUGGAGGGCUCUCCAGUCAGAUUGAAAUGUCUUUCCCUAAUAUAACCUGUGAGAUGAUGGUUCAUGGUUCAGGUCUUGGAGUAUUGUAACAAACACAUGUAUUACGACGGUGCCAGAAAUAAUAUCAAUAUCGUGGAGGAGAUGAGAGCAUUUGAUACAAAGUUCAUGAAUGUUCUUCCAAUCCACAAUUUCCAUAACCCCCCAAACUACCCAUCAUCCAUCUAUCCAUCCAUGUUACUUGUACCCAAACACAAUUUGUUGUUUUCGUUUUCUUUUUAGCCGUCCAAAACACAGAGUGAAAGAGAUGAAAUCGUUGUUUGGAAGUGCUUAGCUCAAAAUGAACAUGGCAUAUAGCAAUGUUUGCUUGUAUGUAUCUGUCUAAAAGCUCUAACUUUUAAGUUCAUCUUUAUCAACUUCAGCUAUCUAAUUGCAGCAAUGUGACUACAAGUGGUGGAAUUUUGGUGGGGGGAGGGAACUGCAGUCAUUGUAAAAGGAGAUUGUCUUUUUUCUUCCAGUUCUUUUUUUCUUCCAGUACUUCUGGAAAUCAAAGUCGAGUAGAUCUGAGCAUAUUUCCUUGGUUAGUCACUGAAUGUCUGCCUCUUAACAAGGAAAAUGACUAUUUUAACCCUCUAAACUAUUUUUGGCAUAUAUAAUAAACACAUCAUCCAACAUCCAAAUAUGUCAUAUAUACAUCCUGAGAUCACAUUAUUCUCUCUAUAACAACAUUUAUGUAAAGUUUGUAUAUGUCAAUGACACUUGCAAUCAAUUUAGCUAUGUCAACUACACCUGCACUCAAUCAAUUUGGCAUUAAACUCAUUAAAGAAGAAAUGGUUUGCAUAUAUUUAAUUCCUUUUUAUACAGAUGAAAAACACUGAAAUUAACAUAAUAAAAGAUAACAAUAAUCAAAUUUAUAACCAAUAACUUUUCACACUAAUAGACAAUCAAGUCUUGUACACUACAAGUAACCAUAUCAACCUCUGGAGAGAAUAGUUGAUCCUUCAGCCGCUUAACAGAAUCAACUAUCCACGUCCAAUUAACAAGAUCAAAAAGUUUUUAUUGAUUCUAUCUCAUAAAUCCAAAUUGGGUUUUUUAGAAAUCAUCCAAUUUGAUCCAAUCUAAAAAUGUGAAGGUCAUCGUUGAACUGUUCUGUUCUCAAUACAGAUUGCCCAAAUCAAUCAGCAACAAGAAGCGUUCUUUAAAACAACGCCUUGCACUUACAUAAAUGGGCUUAAAAUAACGUUUUAGGCUGACUACAGUUCUAAAUUAAGAGCUAAUUGAUAGGAAACCAUAACGGAUUAGAAAAAGUAAACUAUUUGUUCUUGCUAAACAGCUUUAUAAGCUUCAAUGGACAAUAGCGAAACCUGUUAAACAAAAACAUACAACUCAUUGCGCAUGUCGUUCUUCUUUCUUAGCUUACUAAGUGUAUCCCCUUGCAUAUUGACAUCAAAAGGUGAACAAAUAACAUAAUCUUGUGUUUAUAAAAAAAAACUAGAUUAAACAUAAGUAUAUGCUUUGCAGUACUGGAUAACUAUUAUAAUCGCUGUAAAGAUAUUAGCCACAACAUGGAUUGCCGAUACCUAAUAAAAGUUUCAGAAUCGACGUGAAAGACAAAGAUGGCUACAUUUAAAUCUAGCUUAUGAAAAAAGUUAAGUACUGCUGGUGUUUAGAUCUAAACAGCACUUGACCGUCCAUAAGCACAAAAAACUUUUAUCAUAGAUAACAUAAAAUCGAAUUGGCCUCAGUAUUGCAGAAUAGACAUCAAAGACUUCGAUAAAAGCCAUUCAGUCCCGAAAGAUGGUGUUCUUUUAAAAUAGAUCUCGUCAUUGGCCAAGCAAUUCGAUCGAAAUCGUUUAAAAAAAAUGGGAAAAAAAUGUUUUUCUCACGGCCAAUCCCAAGAGGUAAUGGCAGAACCUGCUCCCCAAGGCGAUAGGAUGUGACAACGCCAACUCCGACGAACGGGAUCCUUCCGAUGAAGGAAGGCUCAACCGUUGUGAUGCCGGAAAAGGCUCGAUUCACGACGAUUUAUCAUUGGAUUUUACGAAAAUUAAAUUUUUUCGCCCCAAAGUUUUGUAAUUCGUCGAUGUAGAAAACGAUCAAUCAAGAAAAUUGGUAAUUCGAGAUGGGUGUGACUCGAUAUCUAAAAGAAAAAAGUAAGAAAAAAUUGAGGCGUGGAAGAUGAAACCCUAGAGAGUUGCAGACGCUGAAUAGAAAGAGGCAUGGAGCUUAAAAUAUAGGCCGGGGAGUGCGUUGCAAGCCGUCCGAUUUGGCUGAUCUACUAUAACGAUGAGAGUAAUCGGACCGUUGUUAUUAGGGCUUUUUUUUGGGGGGGGAGAAAGUGGGGGCUUGGAAGUUGGACAACCCGACUCUUCAUGAAUUUUUGAAUGAGAGUUACUUAAUUCUUUCACAUAAAACAUCGUAUAAACUAAUUUUAAUCGUUUUUUUAUAUGCGUUUCUAAAACAAUUAAUAUUCAAAAAAAAAAAAUAAUGCAACAAUAGAAGGGAAAUUGGUAAUUAACUUUUGAGUAAAUUACACGAAUGGUGCAUAUGGUUUAGGAUAAUUUGGAUGAAUGGUUCAUAUGGUUUAAGAUAAUUUGUGUGUUUGUUUUUUAAGUUUUUUUUUUACCCGUAAGAUCUUUAUUGUUUGUUUUUUGUUAUACGUUUGGUCCAUGUCUUAUCUAAAAAUACUAUUUUGCCCUUUAUUUUUUGAUUUAUUUAAAUAAACACACCCCUAACCCCAUCUCAUCACUUUACCUUACUUACUCCAUCAUUUUUCCCUAUUUAAAUAAUAGUAUUUUUAAGUAAGAUAUGGACUAAGUGCGUAACAAAAACAAACAGUAAGGAUCAAAAGCGUAACAAAAACAAAUAGUAAGGGCCUCCCGAGUUAAAAAAAUCAAUUAAGGACCAAGCACGUAAAUUACCCCAAACCAUAGGGACCAUUCGUGUAAUUUACUUUUAACUUUUCGAUUUGUUUAUAACUAUUUUUUCUUUUUUUGUACACAUCUAAGCAACAAAUUUUUUGAAAGCGUUCACAUAUGACCAUUAUGACCGGCUGUAGCAGAUUACAUCCGAUCAUAAUUGUGAUAUGUGAACACUUUCAACAAAUUCGUUACCUAAAUUUGUACAAAAAAAAAGUUAUCCAAAUAUCAGCAAAGAUAAGAAUAAAUUACACGAAUGGUCCCUAUGGUUUAGGCUAAUUUCCGUGUUUGGUCCUUAACUUUUUUUAACUCGGAUGGUCCACGCUAUUUAUUUUUGUUGCGCGUUUGGUUAAUAUCUUACCUAAAAAGACUAUUGUGCUCUUAAUAAUUUAUAUUUUAAUUAAUUUUUUUAUUUUUGUAUUUAUUUUUUAUAUAUUUAAAGAAAUUAAUAGACCCCGCAUAUUUGUAUUUCAUCAUCCUAAACCUAAAACCACAUUUGAGAAAUUUAAUUUGGGUCCUACCAGCCGCCAUCCUAUCUCUCAUCCUCUUCAACUUAUAUUUUCUUUCCAUCUUUAUUGACAUCGACGUCUUCACCAUCCAUUUGUUUUGGUUCUUUAACUUCGACGCACCAACACCACAACCCACUGUCUCUAUAAGGUCACACAUAGAUCAGUUUUAGCAUCUACAUCUAUAGCGUCAGCAUAUCAAGCUUAUCGUCAACUUACAGUUCGGUUGUCUGAUUGUAAUCUUUUUUAUAUUAGGUAAUGAUAUAGAUAAUGUAACAUCCAUAAAAUUCAAGCUAGUUUAAAAAAAAUUCAACCAAUUAUAAAUUGAAAUUAUUACAAAGUGUUUUCAAAAUAGUUUCAUAUCAGAGUUCCCAAAAAUCAUAAUCAUAAAUCGAGGAAGUGUACGGUCACGCCUUCAACUUCUCGCGGUCAUCUGUUGUACCUGAAACAAUAAUCAAUAAAUGUAAGCUCGAAGCCUUAGUGAGUUACCCCUAAAAUACCAAAGCCAUGCCGAUAUAACAAUAUCAUAUAAACAUAUAAGCAAACACAGCACAACAUGCAUCUCAAGUUUACAGUAUGACUGGUCCGCCCGCACCGGGCCUUCAGUCCACCUGGUCCACUCUCUGAGUAUACAGUAUGACUGGAUCGCCCGCACCGGGCCUUCAGUCUAUCUGGCCCACUCUCCGAGCCUCGGCACGUCUGGACCGCCCUCUCGGGGCCUUCAUCCUAUCCGGACCGCUCGUCCGGCCUUCGGCCUAACUAUGUAACCUCCCGGGCCUGCAGUCUAUCUGGUCCGCAUUGGGUAUGUUGGCCUACAGCACGAAGCAGGACCCGCCUCAACCCAAUCCCCCAUACCAACAAAUAAUCAUGUGCACAUAAAUAUCCUACGCUAGCAUGUAUAUAACAAAUAAUCAUAUCGAUCUAACUGAUCACUAACACGACAACCAUCCUAUAACCAGGACACCGACCUAACUGAUCACUAACAUAGCAUCAUCCUAUAUAUCAGGAUACCGACCUAAACCAGGUCACUAAACAUGAUACCAUCCUAACUACCAUGAUACCGACCUAAAUCAGGUCACUAACAUAAUACCAUCCUAACUACCAAGAUGCAAAUCUAGCAGAUCAAUAAACACAUCAUGCAAAUACCUGGAUACAAAUCCGAUAAAGGUUCGGCCUUGGUGUCUUAGACCCUGUUGAUAUCUUGAGGAUAACUCACCUCGCAAUGUCAAUCUGAACUGAAGAAUUGAACUCCCGAAUCGUUGUCUCACCAAAAAUCCCGAACUAUCCAAAUAAUGAAUAUUAAGUUAAUAAAUGAGAAUACUAAUCUUGACUAAGAAUCCACAUAGUCCAUUUCGCCUUUUUAUCUAAUUUGGGCCAAGGCCCAAAAUCAAAUUCACUAUCUAAAAGUCUUUAUACAUAAGCCCAUUAAUGGCCCAAUUUUCCAAAUUGGGCCCCUAUCCCUAAUUGGGCCUUGUUAUAUAAUCUAUUACCAAAACUGGCCCAAAACAUCAUGCUCAAAAAGUCCAGCAAGGCCCAUGUCAAACUGACCCAAGAGUGGCCCACCCCCGAAGCCCAAAAUAUGAAAAGCCCAAUAGAGGGCGUACGCGGGGCGUACUCCUUUGGUACAUUGGGCGUACUCUUCCUGACGUUGACCACCAUCGGGGUGGUUGAGCUAGUAUGAUGGGCGUAUGGGAUUUACUCGGGACGUAUGUAGGGUUUUGCCAAAACCCUAAUAAUUGCUUAAUGGCUUAAGCACUUAAGCCCAAACUUCAGACCCAUUGACCAAAAUUGUUUUGGAACCAUAAAGUCUCGAACUUUAUCACUUUGGACGUCCAGAAAGCUCUUAAUCCAUGGUCUUAAUCCAUUAAGACCUUUCUACUACAAGCAUGGGACAUCUUAAGCCAUUGGGACCCCAUUUAUCAUUUAGGACCUCUUUAAGGGUCUGAAAGGACAACUUAUCUUGUCCAGGUCACAUCAUGCACCAACUUGGGACUUUUAGGACAAGAAAUGGUUUCUUGAAGCUAAAAUGGCAAGAUCUAUAACAUACAUGCAUAAAGUUUGAAGCUUUUUACCUUAUGGAGUUUCCAGGGCACCAAACAACUUCAGAUCUACUAGCUUGUUCUCCUUCUCCAACUCCUUGAUGCAACACCUUAUUCUCCAACUACUCAAAAUGCACUCUAUGAGCUCACACACUCAAGGAAAUGAUUAGGGUUUGGGGAAAACGACUCAAAACAGUGGAGGCCGAGGUAAGGGAUAGUUAUGAGCUCAUAAGGAUGCUUAUAUAUCACUCAAACCCUAAAUAUUAGGGCUUCCUUCUGACGUGAGUACGCCCAACGUACUAGGGCGCGCCUAGUAUGCUCAGCGUACCCUUAUGUACGCACAAUGUACUUCUCCUGGUCCCAGAAUUGCAACUUAGCCUUAGGCUUUUCAUGGAUUUACCCUUCCAUCCCCAGGGACUAUAAAUUGCAAAUCUUGGGAUGUUACAGAUAAGUAUAAAAUAGAUCACAAAUCCGGUAUCUUUGUGAUAAUAUUGGUUCUUAGUAUAGAUUAGACUCAGUCCCUUCAAAGGGAUAUACAUGCAUAGAUUAGUAUAUAUACAACCUUAGGGCAAACCCCUAAUGUUGUGUUCAUGGCUUUGUGUCAAUCACCUUUAUGACAAACCCCUAUUCUUGGUGAAAGAACAAAUUAGAGAACUUAUGUGUUAUUUACUUUCUAUUUAUUAGUUUUCUUAGCUUAGUUUUAUGUUUGUUAUUCAUACUUAAAGUUUGUCUGAUCAAUACAAACCUUCAAUUGGUAUCAGAGCGGGUUUUUUUAUAAACUCAAGUAAUCAUGUCGACUUCAAGCAAUUCCAAAUCUUUUGGUCUCAAUAAAAUUCCUCCCUUUUAUGAGCACAACUUCGUCAUGUGGAAAACCAAUGCCAUGGUGGUUCUUGAAACCAUGGACUAUGAGAUGAAAAAUAUUUUUGAAAAAUGUCCCCAUGUUCCUAUGUACCAACCCAUGGUCAACAACCCUCCCGUUGGCCCCUGAAGUAAAAGCCAUAGACGAUUUAUAAUGACGAUGACAAAAUAUUGCUUAGUAUUGAUGUAAAAUCCAUGGCUUAUGAAUCAUCUCAUACAAAAUUGUGAAUUAGCCCAAGAGAUGAUGGACAUGCUGAUAGUGGCUUAUGAAGGCAUUGUGGAAGUUUAGGUUACAACCAUUAAUACUAACAUCCAUAAAAUUCGAGUCAAUUUAUAACUUUUUAAAUCGUUUAAAACCAUUCAAUGAUUGCAAUUUGUUUUCAAAAUAGUUUAAACAUCAGAGUUCCCAAAAAUCUAUCGAGGAAGUGUACGGUCAUGUCUUCGCCUUCCCGCGGCCAUCUGCUGAACUUGAAACAAUAAACUGAAACUGUAAGCCUGAAAGAUUAGUGAGUUAGCCCCAAAAUACCAAUCCCAGACAGAUAACCAUAUCAUAUAAACAUAUAAGUAAUAGAACAACCAUGCAUCAAGAGUCGACUGGUCCUCCCGCACCGGGCCUUCAGUCCACCUGGUCCACUCUCUGAGUCUACAAUAUGACUAGACCACCCGCAUCGGGCCUUCAGUCUAUCUAGCCCACUCUCCGAGCCUCGGCACGUCUGUACCGCCCUCUCGGGGCCUUCAGCCUAUCCGGACCGCUCGUCGGGCCUUCGGCCUGACUAGGUGCCCUCCUGGGCCUACAGUCUAUCCGGUCCAUCCAGGGUAUGUUGGCCUACAACACGAAGAAGGACCCGCCUCAACCCACCCCCCAUACCAAUCAAACAAUCAUGUGCACAUAAAUAUCCUACGCUAGCAUGUAUAUAACAGAUAAUCAUACAAAUCUAAUAGAUCACUAACACAACAACCAUCCUAUAACCAGAAUACCGACCUAACCGGUCACUAACAUAACAUCAUCCUAUAUUCCAGGAUACCGACCUAAACCAGGCCACUAAUAUAAUACCAUCCUAUCUACCAGGAUGCAGAUCUAGCAGAUCAAUAAACAUAUCAAGCAAAUACCCGGAUACAAAUCCGAUAAAGGGCCGACCUUGGUGCCUUAGACCCUGUUGAUAUAGUGAGGAUAACUCACCUUGCAAUAUCGGACUGAACCACGAAAUCACGCUCCCGAAACACUGACCCAAACUCCAACACCUAUUACUAUCAAUGAUCCAAUUCAUAAAUACCCGCUUACCAAUUAUCCUCAAAAGUCAAACUGGUCAACCCUUGGUCAAAGUCAAAGUUAACGGUCAAGGUCAACAGUCCAUGUUGACCUCAACUCAUCGAGUACCAUUAGCUACUCACCGAGUUCCUUGCAUAACUCGCCAAGUCACUAGAGUGACUCAUUGCGUUCCCAAGGUUUGCGGUCAUAAACUCCUUGGUCGACUCGUCGAGUCUCCCAUGCAACUUGCCUAGUUCAUACAUGUCCAAAGGUUGGGAAAACCGUAGCUGACUCACCAAGUCACUCAUCUGACUCGCCGAGUCCACGACAAUCUUCAUCGGACUCGUCGAGUUAACCAUGCAACUCGCCGAGUCCCUUUAGUCCUUCAUCCGUACAGAAACUUCUUCGUGAAACCAAGGCUCCAAAAUAUAGAUCUACGCUCCUAGAGUGUUGUUAUCACGUAAAGUUGCUAACUUUACAUGCAUGCAAGGCUCUAUGGAACUAAAACACUCAUAACUAGCAUUAGGAGAAGGUUUUGCACAUGAAGGAGGGUCAAAACUUCAUAAAGCUUGAGGCUUUCUAUCCACAAAGCCUAGGGGAGUCAAGAUCUGAAACUUUGCCCUUGUGACAAGUUCAAAACCGAAAAUGACUCUAUCUUGCCCUAGAAAUGACCAUUUUCUUCCACAAAGGGGAGAACUAAGCAAUGAAAAGUAAAUGUGGUAGCUUUAUACCUUAAUCUUGAUGCCACAAUAUUGGAAAGGUUGGAUUUACAAGAUCUUUCUUGUCUCAAGCUCUCAACGCUUCAAGAAAUGCUCCAAAACACUCUCUUUUGGUCUCACGCACUUAAGAAUAUAUACUAGCUGGCUAUUAGGGUUUCUCUGGACGUGAAGGUGACAAGGGAGGUUGGGAAGGAAAGUUAAGGACCUUUAAAUAGGGUGUAAAACCCCAGAAUUAGGGUUUCAUCCUCCAGCUCCUACUCGUCGAGUCCCUUCUUGGACUCGGCGAGUAGGUCGCUUAAACACGUGGACCAACCCGCUGCUACUCGGCGAGUCAGGCAAAUAACUCAUCGAGUAGACCUUGAAAUCAUGAGAAAUAAUAACCUCAAACUGAUACUCGGGAAUCGGGGCGUUACAAUUCUCUCCCAAUUGAACUAUACUUCGUCCUCGAAGUCUGCUGCGGUGAACAACCUUGGAUAGUGCUCCCGCAUCUCUGCCUCCGGCUCCCACGUCCACUCGAACCCCCUUUGAGGCUCCCACUGUAUCUUUUCCAAAGGUACCUCCUUGUUCCGCAAAACCUUCACCCUUCUCUCCAGAGUGGCCACAUACCUCUCAACAUAACAAAGGCGCUCACCGACCUGAAUGUCAUCCAACGAUACUACCGCCUCCUAAUCCCUGAUGCACUUUCGCAACUGCGAAACGUGAAAGAUGAUGGGGUUUGAGCAUUCUAACACUCCUAUGGUGUACAUGCAACCCUAUAAACCUUGGAUCUAUGUUUUCUCUAUUAUACAUGCAAAUAUUUGAUAUUCCAAGGUUUCACCCUAACUAGCAUAAUAUGAAGCAGCUAUACUACAAAAGCCUAGUUAGAUGACAUACCUUUUGAUGUAGCUUGAAGUCUUGAACUUUAAGAGCUUAGCCCCAAUAGUGUGUAAGCCUCAAGUGGAAUCACAAAUUACCAAAAACACCUUGGAAAACUUGAGAGAAUAGAAUGCACAGUAGAAAUUGGCCCACUCUUGUAUCCUCACACACUAGUCCAUUUCAUGUGCCAAAGACCUCUUUAUAUAGUAUGGAGGAUUAGGGUUACAUUCAUGUAAACCCUAAUACCCAUUACCUUUCAUUUCCAUAGGAUCCAUGGGUUAAAAACUCCAUGGAGUAUCCAUGAAAGCUUAGCUGUAACAACGGAAAUUUUUAAACAAAUUUUUCAUUUCUAAAAAUGUAUUUUCAUCCCAAACAAGGCAUAAAUAUCCAACGUAUCAUGUCAUAAUACAAAUCAUAUGAAUCCCAAGAUCAUAAAUCAUCUAUCAGUGUGUACAGAUCAUGUCGGCGCCUUCCCACGGUCCUCGCUAGUACCUGAAACACAUACACAACAACUGUAAGCAUAAAUGCUUAGUGAGCUCCCCAAAAUACAACUUAUGUGCAUACGCCUUUCCAGGCCCUGAUCUUCCGGUCCAUGUGUCUCAGGGGACUUCCGUCCCUGCUGGGUAAACCUUCCGGUCCUACCCACGCCAACCCCUCGGUCCACAUUACAACGCCUUCCGGCCCAUAACAUAUUCGCCUUCCGGCCCAUAACAUAAUGCCUUCCGGACCACAUUAAGCAUAUCAUACAUAGCACAUAACAAUUAACUUAUCACAUAUAACACAUAUGUCUCAUAUCAUAUUCGACCUUCCAUUCACACAAUCAGACCCUUCCGGGUACAAUAUAGUGAGAAGACUCACCUCGUGAAUAUCGAUAGCUAGCAAAUCCCGAAAUCACUCGUGCUCGAUCCUCCGAGCUACAAUCUCCCUAUAACAUCAUACAUCUCUUAUUAACACUUUUACCACUAAGGUUGACUACCCUUUUUAAGUCAACACUAGUCAACUCUUGGUCAACGGUCAACGUUGAACGGACUCGGCGAGUGCACUAGGGCGACUCGGCGAGUCUAGACGUUUUCACCAACUUUCUAGGAUUCCCUUNNNNNNNNNNNNNNNNNNNNNNNNNNNNNNNNNNNNNNNNNNNNNNNNNNNNNNNNNNNNNNNNNNNNNNNNNNNNNNNNNNNNNNNNNNNNNNNNNNNNNNNNNNNNNNNNNNNNNNNNNNNNNNNNNNNNNNNNNNNNNNNNNNNNNNNNNNNNNNNNNNNNNNNNNNNNNNNNNNNNNNNNNNNNNNNNNNNNNNNNNNNNNNNNNNNNNNNNNNNNNNNNNNNNNNNNNNNNNNNNNNNNNNNNNNNNNNNNNNNNNNNNNNNNNNNNNNNNNNNNNNNNNNNNNNNNNNNNNNNNNNNNNNNNNNNNNNNNNNNNNNNNNNNNNNNNNNNNNNNNNNNNNNNNNNNNNNNNNNNNNNNNNNNNNNNNNNNNNNNNNNNNNNNNNNNNNNNNNNNNNNNNNNNNNNNNNNNNNNNNNNNNNNNNNNNNNNNNNNNNNNNNNNNNNNNNNNNNNNNNNNNNNNNNNNNNNNNNNNNNNNNNNNNNNNNNNNNNNNNNNNNNNNNNNNNNNNNNNNNNNNNNNNNNNNNNNNNNNNNNNNNNNNNNNNNNNNNNNNNNNNNNNNNNNNNNNNNNNNNNNNNNNNNNNNNNNNNNNNNNNNNNNNNNNNNNNNNNNNNNNNNNNNNNNNNNNNNNNNNNNNNNNNNNNNNNNNNNNNNNNNNNNNNNNNNNNNNNNNNNNNNNNNNNNNNNNNNNNNNNNNNNNNNNNNNNNNNNNNNNNNNNNNNNNNNNNNNNNNNNNNNNNNNNNNNNNNNNNNNNNNNNNNNNNNNNNNNNNNNNNNNNNNNNNNNNNNNNNNNNNNNNNNNNNNNNNNNNNNNNNNNNNNNNNNNNNNNNNNNNNNNNNNNNNNNNNNNNNNNNNNNNNNNNNNNNNNNNNNNNNNNNNNNNNNNNNNNNNNNNNNNNNNNNNNNNNNNNNNNNNNNNNNNNNNNNNNNNNNNNNNNNNNNNNNNNNNNNNNNNNNNNNNNNNNNNNNNNNNNNNNNNNNNNNNNNNNNNNNNNNNNNNNNNNNNNNNNNNNNNNNNNNNNNNNNNNNNNNNNNNNNNNNNNNAAACACUCCAUGGACUAUCCAUGAAAGCUUAGCCCAACCUAAAUGAACUUGGCCCACCAUAUAUAUAAAAGAGUUCAUAUUUAAUUAGUUCCUUUUUGAUCACUAAAUUAAUUCUAAAUUAAUUCUUGAUCAAUACUAAUUAAAUAAUAUGAUUCCAUAUUAAUAUAUUAGAACUUACAAUAUAAUAAUAUAAAUCAUAAACAUACUAUUCUCAAAAGACUAUCCAUAUAAAUUGUUCCGGUGAAGUGCAACCCAAAUGGACCAUGCUACUCUCGGGUCGAAUACAUACCAAUAAUAGUUAUGGGCUUAGACAUCUAAUCCAAUAGUCUCCCACUUGGAUAAGUCUAAAACUAUUAUUGCAUAUGACUCCAAGAUCCGGACUAGCAAUCGUAGCUCUUAAAGCCACUGUCGAACUCUGACCUAGUCAAAUGAAGUGUCCAUUAGAUAAGGGAUCAUAUAUUCCUCCAUUCUAGAUAUCAUAUGGACUGAUACAUGGAUUAUAAUCAUUCUCUAUGUCCAUUUGUUGUUUCCCGGUUUACGAUUUAUGACGACUGACUCAUUGAACAAAUCAAAUCAGUCCAGGCUUGGCCAAGCACUUAGGGGUGUCAUCACUAAAUCAUCGAGGAGCCCACAAAUAUCGCUCUUAUCCCUCCAAGGGUAAAAGGAAUGGAUAAAAUUUGACUCAUAUGCUUGUCCUACUACCUGUUGAAUCAUACACAAAGACACGUUUUAUAACAUCAAGUUACUGGUGCGUUUUCGUGCAAUCAAUGUAUAACCAACUCAUAGUUAACAACUCAUAUCUCUAGGUUUGAAGAAUAUAAGAUAUUAUCGUCUCAUGAUCACUCGUGAUAAAAUCCAUGAAGCGAUUCAAAUAAGCGUGGGUUAAUCCAAUACUCAUAACUUAUGAGCACCCAUGAAUGUUGUAACAACUCUUGCUAUGUACAACACCUUAGACAUCUACAAGCCAACUUCAUGACAUGCUUGCCUUAAUCCCUACUUCCAACGUAUUAUCGACUGUGGAUGGUUUGAAUAACUUAGUUAUUCAGGAAGAAUUACCCAAUUAUUCUGGAAGUCAAAACAUACAAAGUGAAACACAAGAAUAAUACUAAUUUAAUAUGGCCCCAAUCACCUUUGAGAGUAAAUAGAACACCUUUUAUUUAAACACCAUACUGAUUAAUCAUUAUUCAUUGUAUAAUGUUUCAAAUUUAUCAACUUAAUACUUGAAUUAAAACAAUAGUGGUCCCAUGCUCCAAACAUGUACACUAUGUUUUCUAAGCAAUAAUUAUGCCAUACACCAAGUAUGCACACUAUGUUUGUCUAUGAUCAUUACUUUGUGAAAUAGAUCAAUUGAACAUAAUUUCAAUGAUUCUCAUUUCACAAUACCAAAUCCUUACUGUAAAUAUAAGAAUUCCAAAUUCCUACCAUUUACCGAAAUUUGUUAGAUUAUAAACUUGUAUGCAUUGAUCCUCUCGUAAUGAAUAUGCACAAAGUCACAAAGACUUGUCAACAGACCUUACAAAGUAUUCCAAUGGAGAUCAUUCCAUGGAACCGAAGUCUCAAAUUCAAAGUAAACCUUAGAUUGUCCUCGACAAUUGCUUAAUCAAAUUAGUCAUAUCCAGUUCUAGUACUUUAUCCCUCUUAAUGCCCUGUGCAUUUGGAAAAAUUUAGAACAAAUGAAUAUUAUAACACAUGUAAUCGAUCCUAUAUCUGAAGCAUAUGGGACAAGAUUCAUGAUGCAUCACAUAAAGACAUGAUACUAGACCGGUCUUUUGCUAUAAUAUUUAUUUUUCUAUUUGCCAUGUUCUCAUAAUUCAGAUCAUGAAAAGAGAUGCCGUAAUCACAAUCGAAUUUUAGAACGCAAAUAAUGUUUCCAUAUAUAGAAUUUCCUUAUGUUGAACUAUUCCAACAUAACAUUCAUAUAUAUACUUGAUUAAAUUUGAUUAAAAUCUCACAAUCUAAGCUCUUAGAUUUGAAAUUAAGUAUAAUUUUCUCUCUCAAUUAUAGCAAAACAAUUUUUUCUCAAUUGAAACCUUUUGUUUUCUAUAAUUAACAUUGCUACCUUGCAGCACUUACCAUAAUUAUCAUGCUCCCACUAACAUGAUGACUAUUAGCAUAACACUUAUGCUCCCACUAGCUUUGACAUGUACUCAGAAAUCAGUUGGACUUCUAGAAAUCAAUACUUUAUUAACUUUCUUACCAGAGUUCAGAUUUAUGAUACGAGAUGCUUCGAUAAAACUUUAUCAAAAUCAUACACUUAUCCUUAGAUAUCACACAUAUGUGUCUAAACAACUUUGGAAUUAUGAAAAGGGAUGUCGUAAUCAUAGUCUCAAUUGUUUAUACCUUUGCCAUUCCUCGCAAGUCCAUGUUAGUGUGCCGGUUAACCACACACGCUCCAUUAACGACUUUGAGAAUGCAAAUAUCAUAAUUGCUAUUUACUUAAAAUCACUUAGUGAAAGCAUUUCCUCACCAUUAUUUUCAUGAAUCGGAGAGAAACCUUAUGACACUUAGAUUUUAUGGUGUAUGUGUUCCUAUCCAUGUGAAUUUGUCAAAACCAUAAUCACAAGACAAGGUUAGUGACAAGUCCAAACUCAUAUGGACUAAACUCGUGCAAUCUUAACUUCUUGCCACUUGGCAACCCAAGGGUCUGUCAUUGCUUCCAAGUUGUUAUGCAACAAAUUGAGAACUUUUAGAACUCAUAUGUAAAGCCAACUUUAACUAGAAUGGGCACAAAAAUAGGAAUAUGUCAACACGAUAGGUUAUAAAUCUCUAGUUGUGUGCUAGUGAUAAACUACAAGUUUUAUUCUUGAAUAGAUCUUGAAAUUCUUUCAGGAUCUUUAAUACUCCCAAUGUCCUCUUGACAAAUAAGACUCUCUUGCCAAAUAUUCAAGAUAUAGUGCAGAUUCUUUAUCAAGACAAACACUUCACACAAUUGACCUUAGUUGGUCUUUGUUUUAUCCAAAACAUCACAACUUACCAAUUUCAAAUGUACAAGAGUAUAACACAUUUUACUUUUACAUUUGACAAGUGUUGAUAAGCCUUCUUUAAGAUGUGUCACUCAAGUUAUAAUCUUGGGGUAUGACUCUAAGACUUGUUUUGGAACGAAGUAUGACUCAUCUUCUUGAUUUAACCACUUUAACAAUUCAUGACCUCUCUUCUUAGCCAUAAGAAUGCAUUAAGAUGUCCUUAGAGGAUGAAUUAUGAUAUGGUCUCAAAAUCAUUAAGAUGAUCAUAAACAUGAUACUAAAGUACUUUUCCAUCUUUUCAGAUUUGAGAAACUUUUGUCUUUCUGCCAAACUUGAUUCCUCUCAUUCGUUCUGCCACACAUCGAAACUUUUCCAAUCUUUCAAAAUUAUACUUAAACUUCUAAGUAUAACCAUAUUCACUAAACUUUAGUAAAUCAUAACAAAUAGUCUUAUCGAUCUUUUGUGGCGGACCUGACCAUCGCACAACCAAGUGUACCCAAUCCCUUUGUUCUUCACUUGACUCACAUAUACAUGUGAAUAAGGAAUUAGUCUUAAUUUUCCAAAGAUGAAAAAUCUCAUUCAUCAUACAACUUGCAUGAUUCCAAGUUUCGGUCCAAUUGAAAACUUGGGUGAUGAGAAUCUUUCCUUAUUUGGUAAAUUUAGACACUACCACAAAUGAAAGAAUCAAAUUAAUAUUUCCAUUAUUGCUAGAAACAUGUAAACAUCAAUUUUCCAUAAAUGUCAUUGCAAGGAGAUACAAAAUAAAGCAAAACAAAAUUUUAUUUAUUUAUAAGUGCAGAAAAAACUUUUUCCUUACAAUGCAACUUUAAAUGAAAACUAUGUUAUUACAUAUUUUCUAGCAAUCUAUCAUAACUCCUAAGCAAGGUUCUAAAUAACGUAAGGCGUGACUUGGCGGCAAUGUCAAGCCUCAAGCUUUUCCGAGCCUUGGCGAGUCACGAUGUUUGUAAGGCGUGACUUAAGGCGGCAAUUUUCUAUAUAAUUAAUAUUUUUAUAUGUAUUUUCAACUAUUAUUCAUUUUUAUACAAAUAUAUGAGUUAAGGCAGCGUUUUGGCAAAGCUUGGCGGCAUGUGCAAACCUUGGAGUUGUGGCGUGCCAUGGCGGAGCCAUGGCGAGCUUUUUAGAACCUUGCUCCUAAGUACUAGCUCAAGAAUCCGAUCUUCAAACCAUGCGAUCGAAAUCCAUCUUCACGAUCAGAUUCAGCAUACUCUUUCUUUAAGUUUCCUCCCCUUUGCUUGAUCAUGCCAAACAUAAAAGUGUAACCGAGUCACAUUUUGUAUUAAGAGUCGUCAAUUAGGAACUUAACAAAGUUAGAUAUUGGACUUUACCUGAAGUAGAGUCAAACUUUUUGACUUUACCAUCCUUAUGAUCUUUCAGGUAAAUUUUGCAGCUUCGCAACCAAUGCCCCUUCCUUUGCCAAUAGAAACAUUUGGACUCUCUGGGAAUGGUACACGGGACAAUCUCAGACUUAGCCUUUCUCUUUACCAUUUGGUCAACCGAGUUGACUAUGGCCGAUCCCUUUCCAUUGGGAAGAGAAAGCUUUUCUGGAUAUCCAAUGUUACCAAUUGUUAAUGUCCAUGGUAGUUUGGGAAGUUGAUCUUCUAAUUAUAUUUGCUUUACUAGAGCUCCAAAUCAUUGUUGAUUCAGCAACACCAAGCAAAUAGAUAAGAUCAUUAAGGGUCAUGUCAUAGUCUGUUACAUAGUAAUCCUUAAAGAACUCACUAUGUGACAUAGAAAGUGAUCGAAGAACCAAGUCAACAACCAACUUCCUCAAGACUUUGAAACCCAACUCUCCUGACUUGUCAAUAUGUGACUUCAUCUCCAAGAUGUGAGCAUACAUAGACUUUGCUUGCCAAUAGGGCUUGAGUGACCUUGAACUUUUCAAGAACUUGUGGGUUAAGGAGAAUAAUUGGAGGAGGUGGAGGAAGAGAAGUACAAUUUCCAUUUACCAACCACAAAACAUCAUCUUUAUUAGGAAAGCUUGUUCCAAAAGAUUUGGGAAGAUCAUAGUUGUCUGAACCAGACAUCUAUAAUGGGAGAAAUUCAAGUUAGUUGAUUUAAAGUUCUUAAUAUAACACCUAACAUGAAAUAUUAAGUAUAGGACCCAACACAAUGUUUUAUAACUUUGAAGAGGGAUGCCGUAAUCCAAGCUAUAAAAUAUUUGAAAGUAGGCGAAUGACGAUUCACCAAUUUCCACCAUGAAAAACGAAAUAAUUUAUUAGGUUUUAAUUGGAUUUGAAAUUCCUAGAUCUUUUGAGAUUCAUUGAACUUUUCAAUGACAUGUUUCAAUCUCGAUUGUGCCCUCUCAAGUUUUGUGACUGGGAUGACGAGGAUCACAAAACAAGAUGUGAAUAACCAUGAAAAUAUACUUGGUACCCUUAAUAUUUAUCACUUAAUCGAUGUGCCGGUUAACCACACGCGCUCCACCGAUUCUAUGAUAAACAUUAAGUUACCCUUUUCCUACCUUGUUAAAUCCAGGCUAGUGUGCCGGUUAACCACAUGUGCUCCACUACCGAGUUAAGCAAAGUGCAAAGUGUAAUUUCAUGGGUUAGCACCAAAUUCACAUUUUCCUAAAGUAACUAAGAUUGGGAAUUUAAAAAGGUUUAGUUACUUUAUAUUUAUCAUUAUACGUAUAAUGAAGGGAGAAUUAUAGUCCUAUCCUACCCGUUCGGCUAACGACACUCCACCAGUCAAGGAAGUCAUGGGUGAGAGUGGACGCCCAUUAAACUGCCAUUUUAUAGGCAGUAACCUUAUACCCCCUUAUAGACCGACUUCGUGAAUGAGGCCUACUAAUGGUAAGACUGACUUUAUUCUUAUAUAUAUAUAUAUAUAUAUAUAUAUAUAUAUAUNUAUAAGGGUUUAAUUUUAACUUUUAAAAUUCUAAGGACUUAACUUGGAAUUAAAGUAUUCAUGAGGGGAAACUUUACAAAUUCCAAAACCUGAGGGCAAGUUUUGAACUAUUCAAAACUUUUGGAUUUUCAUAGCUUAUGAGUUUAAUUAAGGUUUUGAAAAAACUUUAAUGAAGAGACUUUUGAUCAUGCAUAAUUUGAGGACAAGUUAUGGAGUUCAUAGAACAAUUUAUGAUGAAAAAGACUCUUUAAUUGUGUAACCUAUGAAUUUUAAUGGAUCUUUAAAAGAAACGACUUUUGGUAAUCGAUAACUUGAGAACAAAUUAUG
Molecule: long non-coding RNA, 46119 nt
Filed under: Lactuca sativa (garden lettuce)
Lineage: Eukaryota; Viridiplantae; Streptophyta; Magnoliopsida; Asterales; Asteraceae
Description: long non-coding RNA (LSAT_LNC005804)
Source: RNAcentral